Molecule: long non-coding RNA, 48914 nt
Filed under: Durio zibethinus
Lineage: Eukaryota; Viridiplantae; Streptophyta; Magnoliopsida; Malvales; Malvaceae
Description: long non-coding RNA (DZIB_LNC001605)
Source: RNAcentral
CAAAUUAAAUCCCAGACUGGAAAAUUCUUCCUGGGCAUCAUAUAGUCUGCUUUUCCAAGCCUUAGACUUGGGCAGUAAUCACCGGUACCAUCUCCAAGGUAGAUGAUUUUUUUCCUCCCCUCUAAAGAAGCUUGAAUCCUUUCAAUGAUCAUCCCCUGUUACACAAAGCAGAAGCCAAAAUUAAAAUUGUUGACAUCUUGUUUCAUGAUUGUCAUUAAAUUUAUAUGAUUGUUGACCCAUGUCAAGGUCUUGGGUUUGUUUAUGACCUUACAUGAGCCAUUACUUUAAUAGAUUAAGUGGGGUCAAGAAAAGAAGUUGACAUAUCUAAAAUGAAAAUAGAUUUAAAAAAUAAAGAGAUAAAUAAAAACUCCAAGCAAGUUGGACGAAUUUGACUCUGUACAUGUGGAAUACCAUCAAGUAAUAAAAUUUUCUAGAAAUUUUCACUUAAUAUGAAAAAUCUAGGUCUUCCUACAAAAGUUUGGUGUCUUGAUUUAAAAUAUUUACAAUUGUGAUAUUCAUGAAAUUAAAUCUCAUGUUACUGAUGAAAAACAUAUGAUACCUUGCACAAAUUUGGGGGGCAGAUGUUGCAGCCAUGAGAACUCUUGGUGAAAUCAUGAUAAGGAAUGAUCCUCAGCCUCCCUUCUUCAUCAACAAAGCCGGGGUUGGUAUUGAUCUCUGAGAAAUAUUCCCUCAAUCCAAGAUGCUCCAGCAUUGUCUCAACGAAGAACAUGUUUGCAUCACUCACAAUCCUGAGUUCACACCUGAAAAAAUAUUCAAACCAAUUUGAUCACCCUAUAUUUCUAUUGCUUCAAACUGUAGUUUUUAUAGUCACAGGUCAAACACCAAGAGGAGAAGCAUAGAAAUAACGGAGUACCCUAAAGAAUGAGCUGAUUUAAUAGCGGGCACGAUCCUAGGAUGGAUAGGAGCUCGUUUCAGAACCUCAGCAAUGUCAUCAAUGGUUUUUUCUUGGGCAUGAAGCUCCUUCAUCAUCCUGUCCUGUAAUUUUAUUCCACAAACACUGAGUUUCAUUUUUUAUAAAUGUAAAGCCAACAGAAAGAGAAAUUGCAGAGGGCUUAAUAUGGGUUACCAUGAGAGAAUUCCAGGGCAUGAUAGGAAGAAGCUGGUUGAACAAGUCGGUGAAACCCAAGUCAUCGACAACCCAGUUAUCACUAUCACAGUCGAUGAUGGUUUUGUCAAAAUCAAAAACCACAACAGUUCCAGCCAUCUCUCUGAAUGAAAAUCAAACAAAAUACAAAACAAGAUUGGAAAAACUCAGCAACACUUUGAAUGUUUUCUUGUUGGUAUAGCAGCGUAACAGGGGAUGGGUAUUUAUAUGCAAACAAUGGAUUUUAUUUUAUGCCAAAGGAAUAUUACGUGAAGGGAUUAUUAGGUGUAAGUAGGAAGCAAUAAGUAGGACACAAGAAGCCCUUUUUCCUGCAAGCUUCCUACGCAACACAUACUAAUCUGAUACAACUGCUUGUAAAUUAUUACUCCGGUAUAAGCAAUAUUUACCGUUUGAUGGAUGACUUUUGAACCAUGUGAUUAAUCAAGUUUAGUCAGCGGAUCAGGGGGAAAAAGGUGUAGGUUAAUUAUGAAAGGGAUUAGGUUUAAGGCUUAAGGUUUGUCAAACUCCUCUCCAUUACUCCAUUCGCAUACUUGUGCCUUUACUAGCCUCCUGUUUUUUUGCAAAUCAAUUCCCAAACUGGGAAAUUCUUCCUUGUCAUUACAUAGUCCCCAUCUCCCUUCUUCAAACUUGGACAGAAAUCGCCAAGCUCAUCACCGAGGUAGAUUAUUGUUUUCUUCUCCUCCACGGGCAUGAGAGAGACUUGGAUCCUUCCAAUCAUAAUACCCUAUUAAGAAAGAAUUCAAUCAUUAGUCAGUUGGAUGGGAAGAAAAUGAAGAUAACUUAAAAAUAAUUAUAGCAUAAAAUUAUAUAUCUUACAGCUAAUCAUGCUUUGGAUUCAUUACGUUUACUAAACAUUAGAAUUCAGUGGCGGAUGCAUAUGGUAUAGUCGGGUAUUCAUGUACACCUCCAAAGGUUGGAAAAUAAAAAUGUUUUCUUCGGACACCUUCAAAUUUUCUUUUUGAACAUAUCUUUCUUAAUUCCUUAUUCUUCAAUCCUUCAUUCACUGCCACUAUCUAAUAUCCAAUCACAUCUCACAGUUAGUUAAUGCCCAACACACCUCCAUAAAAAAAAUCUUGCAUCCGCUACUGUUAGAAUUCAGUAAUAUUUCACGCAUGAAUGCAUGAUUCAUGUUAAAAAUGAUAUACCUUGCACAUGUUUGGAGGGCAGGGAUGAUGAAAUCCAUGAGUAGAUUGAGUGAAAUCAUGGUUAGGCAAGAUCCAUAGCCUGCCUUCUUCAUUUACCAAACCUGGGUUGGUAUUGAUCUCUGAAAAGCAUUCCCUCAGGCCAUGAUGCUUCAAAAUUGUGUCGAUGAAGAACACGUUCGCAUAACAUACAAUCUUCAAAUCUCACCUGAAAUUAAUAAUGCCAUACUAGUAUUUUUUUUUUUCUAGCGAGAAAACCAGAAAGAAACUUUAAAUAUACAUGCCGGCCGGAUUGUAGUUGGCGGGAAGGAAACUCCUAAAGCUAAGAAAUGUUGCCAGAGAGCUUAUAAAGUGUAUGGUCUUGCGACGGAGGAAUAAUAUCACAGGCUGCAAUCCCUGAGAAUGCAACUGUGGCAUCUGCUCUCUCGACAAACGAUUGGAUGCAAUAUCUCACUUCUUCUCUACUGAUGAGGGAUAUGCAGCAGAUGUCGGCUGGUCUGAUCUUUACUGAACAAGAAGAUGUUGUUUGGCAGGCAUCAAAGUCUAGCAAGUUCUUACUUUCAAAUACAUGGGACUGGAUCAGGGAAAGGCAACCCACUGUGGUUUGCCAUAAACUGGUCUGGAUUCCUCUUCACUCACCAAACAUAGUUUUAUCACUUGGCUUAAGGUUCUUAGUAGAUUGAGCACAGUAGCUAAUAUUAGGAGUUGAUGUACUCAAAUGUCACUAGGGAUCAUCUUUUCCUUUCUUGUGACUUCUCAAAGCAAGUUUGGCAAUUAGUUUUAGCAAAAGUGAAGUGUGUUUUUUAUUGCAAUAUCCAAAAAUGACAGCAGGAGCUCGAUUGGAUUAUUAUAGGUGAAACUUUUUAGACUAUGAUUCUGAGAGGAGUGUGAACAAGUAUAAAUAUAUCACAUUUGGCAUGCGAGGAAUUCUCCAAAACUUGGUAUUUGUUCUCUAAACAUUGACAAAUACUUUGCUAGACAUUAGUUUUAAUGUAAAGUUUUGCCUCUUAAAAUUUGUAAAAAAUAUGAAUAAUCCAUCUAUUAGCUCUGUAUGUAAAAAUUGAGGGCCGGGAUUGUAUAGGCAAUGCUAAAGCUCAUUGUUUGAUUUGUUGACUGGUGGCCUCCUACUUCUUUGGAUCAAUGAAAUACCAUUUAUGAAAAAAAAAAAAACUAAAUAUACACGAACAGAGAGAAAAAUGUAUGCAUAGCGCAAAGCAUGAGCCGAUUUAAUGGCUUUGAUGAUUCGGGGAUGCAUCGCAGUUGUUUGUAUAACAGCUACAAUGUCAUCAAUUUUUAUUCCUUACGAAUGAAGUUUUUUCAUCAUUAGAUCCUGUUUUGUAAAUAAAAAAAUAAACCCUGGUUCUUACAUUUGGAAAAGAAGGAAAAAGAAAAACAUAAAUUAAAAGACUAACCAUAAGAGAGUUCCAAGGCAUGUAGGGACGAGUUGAUUGAACAACUAUGUAGCACGUCAGAGAUCUAAGACAUUUGAAAUUCAAGUUAAUUGAUUUAUGAAAUUAUUUUUAAGAGUUGAUAUCUAGAGACUUAAAUCUCAACAUUUACAAUCAUUUCUCAUAUUCUCAAAUGGACUCCUUAAUAAAAAAAAAUGUCUAUAAUAAGAAAUUAAUUAUGUUUAAUUUGUUUGAAUUGUCAAGCUACUUUAUUCUAAGUUUUAAAAUUUUUUACUUUUUUAAAAAUAUGUUUAGAUUUUAAGUUAUAUAAUCAGAAACAAGUAAUUUAUAAUCAUAUUUCACAUAAAAAUCAUUUCUAGUUUAUAAGAUUUAAAUUUAAAUUAUAAUUUCAAAUUCUUUCUAAAAAUUAGAUCAUGUAAAAUCAAGAUAUAUUUAAAUUUAUGCUUUAUUCUGAUUCUUAAUCUCUUUAUUAUUAGAAUAAUUAAUCUACAUAAGUAUCUACAUAUAUAUUCAUAUCCAUAAUGUGUUUCUAUAAAAGUGAGAAAAUUUCUCCUCAAGAAGAAUCAAAGCAUGUAAGGAAUAUUGAACCUUUGGAAUUUGCCUAGUACAAGCAGAUAGAGAAGCAUUUCUACAGAAGCUGUAUAACAUGAGUGGGGUUUAAAAGAAUAAAAAGUUAGACAAAUAAAUUAAAUAGGUUCGGGUUUUGUUUUAAUAAUUAUAUUUAUUUACGCUAUAGUCAAGUACGUGCAAAACAUUAGUUUAAAAUUUAAUUCAGUUAACUUAUAAAAUUAUUUUUAAAAAUUAGUAUUCAAUUAAAAUUUAAAUUUCAAUACAUGUGUUAUCUUCUUUUAUUCCAUGUAAUCUUUUCUAAUAAAAAAUUAAGUCAUGUAAAGUUUUUUGUUAAUUUUUUAUUAUUUGUUAAUCUACCUAUUCUACAGUAUAUGAUUAAUUUAAUAACCACCACUCCACUUAAUUAAUCUUAACCUUGCAAUUAAAGAAGUAAAACUUUUCCAUUGAUAGGAACUUAAGUAACUUCUUGGUCAUGGAAAUAGCAAUCUCCAUAUUGAAAUGUAAAUCAUGAAAUUAAAUCAUUAAUCCUACUACACAAUUCGUCCAAUAGAAACUAAUCUAAUUUGAACAUAUAUGUAAAUUUGAGUAUAUGUGCAAAAACAAUAGGCGGACGAUUCUUAAGUGAUGAAAAAUUUAGAUAAUUUGAAACUAAACUCUAGUAGGUCAUGUAUAUAGUUGUUUUCGGAGAAGGUAUUCAAUAAGUUUAAGGUUUAAAUCUCAACACUUUCUUUCAUUUCAAAAUUACGAUCUCUUUUGUAACAAAAAAAAAAACUAGAAAUAAUCUUUUAUUUGUAACUUUAAACUGGUGAAUUUAAAUAACAAUAAAAAAAGACAACAAAAGGAAGUUCAUUUGCUCCUCAAAUAAAAUGAUUUGAAAUAGCUAUCAGAUAUAUGGGAAGGUAUGAAUCGGUCUAGAUAGUUAGCCUUUUGUGAAAAGUAUGGUCAUAUUACACAUCUCCUUUCAAUGGUAGUUGAACAUUCCCUCAUCAGAGUAGCAGUGCAAUUAUGGGAUCCUUCAUAUAGUGCUUCAUCUUCAAUAAGGUUGACAUGACACCAACUAUAGAGGAGUAUUUUACAUUGAUGAGUUUGCAUCUCCAAUUACUAGAUAAGAUAUAUGUUAGAAGGCAAAAAUCAACAUUUCGUAAAAAACUCAUAGAUAUCAUGGAGUCAAAAAGGAAGAUGUAAAUGUAUAGAUUUAAGAAAGAAAUGACCAUAUUUGUCUGCUUUGAGAGUUUUUUCAUAAUUUCAUCACAAAGCAUCUGAAUGAUGAUCAAGGGUUGGAUAUAUUUGCUUUAGCCAUAUAUGGCAUGGUAGUUUUUCCUAGAAUUUUAAGUCAUAUUGAUAUAGAAGUGAUUGAUUUUUUGUAGCAUGUGGAAAAAGGUUGCAAUCCCUCUUCUACAAGCUUAGUUGAAACAAUUAUAUCGCUGAAUUAUUUACAUCAAAAAGGCAAAGGGCACUUUGUUGGAUGUAUGCCAUUAUUAUAUUUGUCAAUGAAGAGUCACUUUAUGUGUAAGAAGAAUGCAUUUUCCAAAAUCUACUUUCGUAAUAGAGCUUCAAUUAAGCAAUUUUGUAAGAAUGAAUGGCCAAAGCCCAAAGUUAAGGAGGAAUGGAUGGUCCUGCUACAAGGUCUUAUUUGCACCCAAGUGAAAUGGUUAGUUCUAUGAAUGGAUCAUGAACUGAUGUUAUAUCCAUAUAAAGAUGAAAUAGGGGUCCCACUUCUAGGUUUAUAUAGAGCAACAAGUUAUAUAUCGCUUAUGGUUUGAAAGUAAUUUGAGGCUAAGUAGUUCAUUCUUAUGACAUACAAACUCACUCAAUCAGAUUUUUUACAUAGUGUGUUAAAAUUACUACAAAAGGUGGAUAAUGUGAUCAAGGCAUGGAAGAAGCCCAAAAGAGUGAAUCCUUGGUUAGCUAUUGACAAAGUCACUUAUAAGUAUUUGGUGUGGAAAGCCAAGAGAGGUAAGUAGGUUGUGUUUACACUCAAAGAUCAUUGCCAACCAGUGAAUUAGGAGUUGGAUGAGAUACCUUCAGAGUUAGAGUUUGUAAGGAAAGAAUUUAAAGCUAAGAAAGACAAGAUAAAAUAAGAGAUUCAAUGGCUUUAAGAAGAGGAAAGCAAUGGAAAGACAAGGUAGAAAAGCUAGAAGUUAGAGUCCACAAGAUCUCUAAUGAGCGUGAUACAAAAGUUAAUAAUUUGGCCAAACUUCAUCAAUAACAUAAGAAGUUAGAAUUUGAAUGUAAAGCCUAAAAUGAUGUUAGAAAACAUGACAAUGACUUUAAGGAGAUAAUGGAAUUACAUUAAAAGUAUAAAAGAUUACAUAUCCAAGUGAAGGCUAAAGAAAUAAAUAUCAUUAAUUUGAUUUUUUAGAAGGAAAAGUUGAAUAGAGAAUAUUCCCAAAUGGAGGAUAAUUGUGUUGAAGCCCAAAAGGAGAAUGAGAUGCUUAGAAGGUAUAUUUAGACAUUGAAGUAAAAGUUGAAUGAACAAAGAGGUCAGAUCAUGGUACUCACAAAAGAGCAUAGAGAGCUAUUUUACCAAGUAUGAUUUGGCAAAAAAAAAAGUCUGAGAAGGUAAAAAUACAUAGAGCAUCUUGCAACCUAAAUAAGUAAAGUAGUGAUCGGGGUAAGGGAAAUGGUUUAAGAGACUGAUGCAUUGAGAAUAAUGGUUACACCAAUAGAAGAACAUGGAUAACAUUUAUUAAACUUCAUUAAAGAGUUUAAGGAUCAGUAUAAGCAAAUUAAAUGUUUUUACAAGUAAGAAUAAUAGACUUAGUGUAAAACAAACUUUUAUGGAAUAAAUGAAAGUUCACUUGUGUUGAAAAUUUUUAAAGAAGCAAAUAUUUUCUUUGUUUCUUUUUUAUACAUUGCAUUCAUUCAUACAUAAUUAAAAUCUUAAUCGUGGCAAUCCAUAAUAAGACCAUUAAUUUAAGGUUAUGGUAUACAAAGUUCAAGGAUACAUCAAACACUAGUGCAACAUCAGAGCUCAAGCUAGAAUAAUUGAACAAGAUAAUGCAAGUCGUGUUGAGAAAUUACAAAAAGCUCAAGAGAAAAUCAAGGGAGAAUUGAGCAAAAUCUUUAAAGCUUUGACUAAGCUAAAUAAGAGAAAUACAAUAAAAGAAGACAUUUUAUAUGAAGUUACUGAUCUUUUGUAUUCUUUGAGUUAUGGCCUGUACCAAGCCCAAUCUACUCAAAGCUUCCCACCAUAACAGCUCACAUUGAUACAAGCUAUAUUUAUUUAGAAAUGCCACCUGCACUGACAACAGAGUAUCUAUAAAAUCAUACAACUUGGACUGAGACUAAGAUAGACUUAUCCAAAAAUAAGAUGGACAUAUCCUUGGUCCAAAUCCACAAAGUAAAUGCAAAAAUAAGGUAGACUAUACUAGGAAGGUUGUAUUCACACUAGUUAGAGUAGAAGAGGAUGAAUAUAGAUAAGAUUAUGGUCAAAUUCAUUAUUAUGUAAUUUGCAGGAGUAAAAUAGUUCAUAUGCAAAUCAUUUUAUUUUAGGCAUGAUUCUAGCAAUACAAUCUGAAAGUUCCCAUGCUUGAAGGGAUAUUCCUAGCCUAUAUAUUUUUUAUUAUUCUUUGGUAGAAGGCAAAAUAGAGUUUUCUUUAUCCUUAAGCAAUCUUUUAGAUUGUUUUUCAAGUUUUGUAUCUUUUAGGUGGAUUUCCUAGAAUGGUGAACUUUUAUUAUUCUGUAUCUUUGAUUGGAAUUCUUAUGGUGGUAUUUUUAUAUCCCUUAAUUGCUAGUUUUGGUGAUGAACUUUUAUCCCUUUUAAUCCAAUAAUCAUAUUUUGUCAUUAUUCAAAUCCUUGUGAGUUAUUUUCUUUAUGAGUUUUUUUAUUUAUAGUUAAUCUCCACAUCUUAAACAUCAAUUCUUAGCAUCAAAUUGGUAUCAAAGCUAUUGCAGGUUAUCGUCAUCAAGCAUAAGUAGAAGAGGUUAAAGCCAACACCGAUGUUGUAACAACUAUUAAUAUUGACUACUCAUAGAGGAGAUGCAGCAACAGAUCCUUCAACUAUAACAUCAACUAUAUAUACAAAAAGAAAGAGUGGAGAUAAAGAGGUAAUAAAAGAGAAAUGAAAAAGAUGAAGGAGAAACCAAUCCAUACCUUAGAAAUAAUAAUGAUUUUAAUGAUAGCAUCCUCUAUCACCUACGGUAAGUCAGAAAGUAUUUAAGCAGAAACCAAUUUCAAAUUAGCAUAUUCAAUCUGAAGAUAGAGAUUCUUGAGUUUAAGAGAAAAACGCAACCUGAAGAAUUCUUAGAUUGGCUAUACACAGUGGAACACAUAUUUAAAUAUCAUGAUGCCCUUUAACAUUGCAAGGUAAAGCUAGUGGCCAUCAAACUUAAAAAACAUGCAUCUUUCUAGUGAAAAAAUUCGAAAAAGCAAAGGGAAAAAAAGUAAGAGAAAAAUUAUAACUUGAGAGAAAAUGAAAAUAGUUGAAAAAAAAAAUAUCUCCCAGACAACUUUUGGCAAGAUGUCUUUCUUAGGCUUUAUAACUUGAAGCAAAGAGAUCUGUUAGUGAAAGAGUAUACUGCUAAGUUUGAUCACCUUAUGUUACAAUACGAAUUAAUGGAAUAAAAGGAGCAGACUAUUACCCAAUAUCUUAGAGGAUUGAAGAUUGAGAUAGCUAAUGUGGUACAGCUACAACCCUAUUAGACUUUCAAUGAUGUAUGCAAGCUUGCCCUUAAGUUGGAGAGACAACAAAAAGAGGCCUAUGAUAGCAAUUUAAGAUUUAGGUUUCGAAAAAGCAAGCCUUUGUCUAGUGCACAAGCUAGAAGGUGUUUUAAAUGUCAAAGGCUUAGACACAUUGCCUCAGAAUGCCCAAACAGAAAGAUUAUAAAUCUAGUAGAGGAAGACUUAGAGAAAAAAAGAAAAUAAGCUGGCAGAAAAGGAUUAAAAGCUUAAAGAGGAGGAAGAGGUAACUUAUGGCUAUUGUAAAGCAUCAUUAGUCAUACAAUACAACUUGAGUAUCGCACCUGCUAAGAAAAAAGAUUAGUUAUGUAAAAACAUAUUUCACACUCGUUACACUACCCAUGCGAAGGUAUGUGAUGUUAUAAUUGAUAGUGAAAGUUAUGAAAAUGUUGUUUCUACCUUUAUGGUACAAAAAAUAGGCCUCAAAGUAAUGGAUCACCUCUAACUAUAUAAGCUGUAUUGGCUACAAAAAGAGAAUGAAAUGAAGGUUAGCAAAAGGUGUUUGGUUCUUUGUUCCAUAAGAAAGUAAUAUAAAAAUGAAGUGUGGUGUGAUAUAACUUCAAUGGAUGCUUGCCAUUUACUGCUUGAAAGACCUUGGCAUUAUGAUAAAAGGGUUAUUUAUGAUGAUUACUGCAACACUUAUACAUUUGUGAAUGAUGGAUGCAAAAUCAUCUUAGGCCUUACCAAGCUCAUGGUGAUGUCAAAACCAACCAAAAAGAAAAAAAAACAGCUUGUUUACCAUGGCCAAUUACAGAAAAAAAUUAAGAUGGCCAAUACUAUAUACGUACUAGUAUUGAUUGAGAAGAAUAAGAUAGUGAGGAGAAUAAGAUAGUGAAGAGCCCUUAUAGUACCAUUGUUGGUAGAAUUUCAAGAUGUUGUUUAAGAAGAGUUAUCAGUUGGUUUACCAUUAAUGAGGGAUAUUCAACACUACAUAGACCUUAUCCUAAGAGCUAUUUUACCCAACAAGGCAAAACUUUUCUUGAAGAGUUACAUGGAAAGGAAAUUAAUGAGAACUUGUUUUACUAUAGGUGGAGUUUGCCUACAAUUAUUCACCAAGUCAAACUAUUGGUUAUAGCCCUUUUGAAAUUACUCUUAGUAAGAAAACAAUCUGGCCUUUAGUUUUAAGUCAACGUUAUACUAAUCAACAUUUUGAUGAAGAUGUAGAAAAAAAAGUCAAGAGUAUCAAAAUAUUUCAUGUAUAGGUUUAAAAUAGAAUUUUGUAAAAAAAUAAGAAAUAUAAAAGGGAAAUAAUCAUGCAUCGAAGACAUGUGAAGUUUAAAGAACAUGAUUUGGUGUGGAUUUACUUGCAAAAAGAAAGAUUUUCCCCAAAAAAGUUUGGCAAAUUACAACUUAAGGUAGACGGUCCAUUUAGAGUUAUCCAACGAAUUAGGGAAAAUGCCUACAAGAUACAGCUUUCGAACACUUAUAAAGUAUCUUUCACCUUUAAUGUUGUUGAUUUGUCACCUUAUCAUAGCAAGAAUACUAGUUUAGACUUGAAAACAAGUCUUUUUCAACCAAAGGAUAUUGACACUAAAGUAUCUACACAUCUUACAACUUAGACUGGGACUAAGGUAAACUUAUCCAAAAAUAAGAUAGGCCUAUCCUUGGUCCAAAUCCACUAAGUAAAUGGAAAAAUACACUAGCUAGAGAAGAAGAGCAUGAAUAUGGAUGGGAUUAUGGUUAGAUUCAUUAUUAUGUAAUAUGCAGAAGUAAAUGAGUUCACUUACAUAUCUCUUAAUUUUAGGCAUGAUUUUAGUAAUACAAUUUGAAAGUUCUCAUGCUUGGAGGGAUAUUCCUAGCCUAUAUAUUUUAUAUUAUUUUUUGAUAGAAGGUAGAAUAGAGUUUUCUUUAUCCUUAAAUAAUCUUUUAGAUUUUUCUUCAAGUUAUGUAUUUUUUAGAUGGACUUCUUAGAGUAGUGAACUUCUAUUAUUCUGUAUCCUUGAUUAGAAUUCUUAGAAUAAUAUUUCUGUAUCCCUUAGUUCUAGUCUUUGUGGUGAAUUUUUAUUCCUUUUAAUCUAAUAAUCGUAUUCUAUCAUUAUUCAAAUUCUUGUAAAUUGUUUUUAAUGAGUUUUUUUUUGUUUGCAAUUAAUCUCCACAUCUCAAACAUCAAUUCCCGGCAUCAUGCACCCAACCAAGGGAAUAUCCAAAGUUAUAUCAACCUUAUCUUCACUAAAAAGGUAGUUAAACCGAUCUAAGUUCUCAAUUUGAACGAUCUAAAAGAAAAACUAAAAUUAAAGAUGGUUGAGUCUUUAGAGGACUCUAAAACUAAUUAAAUGAUGAAAAUGCUAGAUGAGAGAUUAAAAGUUAUGAAAAGUAUUGAUUUUUAAGGUACUAAAGUUUGAGAAAUAUGACGAUACGAAAUAUCCCAUCAUGCAUGUUACGAUGUUCUGUUGUAAAAUGGUAGCUUACGCUAGUAAUGGAAAAUUACUCAUGCAUGUAUUCCGAGAUAAUUUAGCUGGUUUUGCUGUGAAGUGAUAUGUUAAGUUAGACAAAACUCAUACCCAAUCAUGGAAAAAUCUAACUCACUUUUUUCUUAACCAAUACCGUUAUAUCAUAUAUAUGGCUUUCGAUUGCCUUUCUUUACAAAAUAUAAAAAAAAAUGACUGAGUUUAAGGAAUAUGCCCAUAUAUGGCAAGAUAUAAUUGUUCAGGUCCAACUACCCUUAACCAAGAAAGAGACAACGGUUCUAUUUUUCAGCACUUUGAAAUCAUCCUAUUAUGAAAAGAUGAUAAGGAACGUGACUAAAAAUUUUGUUGAUAUGAUGAUUUCAGGCGAGAUAAUUGAAAAUGCCAUUAAGAAUGGCAAGGUUGAAAGAGGAGAGUCAUCAUGGCCAAGAGGAUGCCUAAGAAAAAGGAAAGUGAAACUUAAGCUAUGAGUUUCAAAAGGUAACAAUUCAGAAAUUAUACUCUUUACCCACAACCCAUUUAUCCUACAUACUAUUCCACCAAAAAUAAUGCUUUAACUUUUCAUACGAACUAGUUUCACAACUUUCUUAUCUUUUCACCUAUCAACCAGCAUUUAGACCACCCACCAAUGCAUACAACCCUAAUACCUCUCUACUAUAAGGCUUUUCAUGAGCCCAUCUAACCCAAUAAGUGGUCUAAAAAACCAUGAAAUAAUCGAAAGAAGCUUAUGUUUUGCCCUAUUCCCAUAAUUUAUAAGAAGUUGUAUAAAAAACUUUACAAUAAUCAUUUUAUUGCUCUUCUUUAUAUAAAUCCAUUUAAAUCUUUUUAUCUUAAAUGGUACAAUCCUACUGUUCAUUAUGAUUACCAUUAUGGAAUCAUAGGUCAUUUCAUUGAAAAUUACAUUACUUUGAAACACAAGGUACAAAAUUUAAUCAAAGAUAGGUUGAUUAACUUUGACACCAGUGAAAAUAACAUCCGAUGUUAGUGGUAAUCUAUUGCCCAAUCACACCGUAAAUGUUUUAAAUGAAGAUAAAAGACGUUGUAUGAAAAAGAGAGUAGAGGAGAUCAAAAGUCCAUUUAGUAGAUUGUAUGAUACUCUAUAUGAGGUUGGGAUGGUACAAUCAGUGGACCCACACAUUUACCAUAGGAGAUGCAUCCUAAAUCAAAGGUGUAAGUACCAUAGUGGGACUUUGGGUCAUUCUAUUGAGACUUGCAAUCAAUUUUAAGACAAGUUAUAGAAGUUGAUGGAUUCCUAUCAAAUUGAGCUAUAUGAAGAGGGAGAAACCUCGAGAAGUACUAAGGUGUCUAUGACUAAUAAGUCAAAGUGGGUACCAAAAUCAAUAACUACUUAUGGUGGUGAAAAGUCAAAAUCAAUUAUAGACAAGCUUGUCCAUAAGUUGUUACCUUCAAAGUCCAAAGCCCAUUCCCAUAUAAGGAUGAAAAGGUUAUACCGUGGAAAUAUGAUUGUGAAGUGAUAAUCCAAGGACAAGAGGAGACCAUACCCAAGCCAAACAUCACCAACAUAACUAGUGUAGGUGAUAUAACUAGAACUGGAAGGUGCUAUACUCUGAAGAUGGUGGAAAGGGCAAGAAAAAAAAUCAAUAAUGAUAGGAAAACAAGCUGAUCUGAAGGAUAGUUUCAAAAAAGACAAUCCAAGACCAUUGUUUGAAAAAAAAGCCUACGAGUUCUUGAAGCUCGUAAAACAUAAAGAAUAUUCCAUGGUCGAGCAACUAAACAAGAUGGUAGCUAGGAUCUCUUUAUUAUCAUUAUUAUUAAAUUUAGAACUGUAUCAUGAUGUCAUAUUAAAGGUGUUAAACCAAGCUUAUAUGGCCCACAAUCUAUUAAUAGAAUAUGUGAACCAUUUGGCUAGGAACCUAGUGGUGCCACAUUAUACAGCCUUUAACGAUGCGAAAUCCUAUCAAAAGGAAAAGGAAGCAUAAAGGUCUUGCACAUUAUUGUCGAAUGCAAGAGUCACAUAAUAGCCAAAGUGUUUAUUGACAAUGGCUCUAUUAUUAAUGUUAUGCCUAUAUCUAUUUUAGCGAGGUUGCCCAUUGAUGUGUCCUAUACAAAAAACAACUGUAUGGUUGUUUAAGCUUUUGAUAGGACUAGGUGUAAAGUAUUAUGAGACAUUGAAACGCAUUUAUAAAUUGGGCCUUGCACAUUUAAUGUAAAAUUCUAGGUUAUGGACAUCUCACCUUCUUAUAGUUAUUUGUUAGAUAAGCCAUGGAUUCACAUGGCAGAUAUUGUUCCCUCCUCUUUACACUAGAAAGUUAAGUUUAAUAUAGAAGGAUAAUUGGAGAUCAUGGUUAAAAAAAAGGAUUUGUAAGUAACUCAGUCCAUGAACAUUUCUUAUGUAAGGCUACGAAAAAAUCAUUGGAGUGUUCCUAUCAAUCCUUCAAGCUUGUCAAUACUAUGGGCAAGGGGUCUAAAUUACACUAACCAGAUUUCACUAGAAUUGUGGUUAGCUAGAUUAUCAAAAAAGGUUGGUAUCCUAGAGUUUGGUUGGAUAAAAUUUUGCAAGGACUAAAAAAGCCUCCAACGAUAAUAGAUAAUAGCAAAAGAUUGGGCUUGGGAUAUGAAGUAAAGAAAUAGGAAAUAAAGAUGAUGAAAAACAACCGAAAAGGAAAAAUGAUAGCGAGGAAUAUACUUGUCAUAAUAUAUAGAUUCAUAAAUCUAUAGUUAUACUUAACAAGAAGAGUCGCCACCAAUCUUUUUUUCUAUGUGUGAUUGGUCACCUAAUGAAUCUACCAUUUUAAAAAGCUUAUAAGCUUGACUAAGGCUCCCUAAAGAAUAGGUUCUGACCUUCUAAAUAGAAUUAGGUUUGAGACUUUAAUUAUUUAUGAAAAAAGUUAUAGCACCACCACAACGCCUAUCUUAAGAUGAUACUAUUUAAUUUUAAAUUAUCUUAACAAUUAUCCUAGUUCUAAAGGUUUUUAUUUUAAUGUUUAAAUAUUGGAAAUGAAUUCUAAGAUUUCUCCAUCAAUUUGAUAGAAUUCUUAAAAAUACUUCCUCACCUCAAGAGUAUAUAAGAAUCUCAUUUGUUUUCUUACAAAAGUUUUAUCGUCGAAAAAAUGUUUAAUCAUUUUUAUUUUAAUUUUUUUAUUAAAAAUAUAUCUAAUUAUUCCAGUAUUUAGAUCAAAUUAGAAAUAUCUUCUCACCUAGAACUUUCUUAAAUGAUCAACCAUUUGCAAUUACUAAGAAUUUCCUCAUCGGGAUUUAUUUUUAUUUUUAAUUUCUAAAUAUUUCACUAUUUAGGUCUAUUUAGAAAAUUUUUUUUUAUUUUUGGAAAGAACAUAAUAUAACAAUUAUUUUUUAAAUUUUCAUUUUAAUUCUUUCAUCAUUUGAAAUAAAUUUAAAGAAAAUUUCUCACCUAGAAAUUUUUUAAGAAUUUUACCAUUUGAAAUUUCUAAGUUCUCAACCUUGGAUAAUUGUCAAAUAUUUUUAACCAAAAUUUUUUAUUUGGAAAAGAAUACAAUUACCUUUAUUAAAAUUUUAUUUAAAUUAUUUUACCAUUUGAAACAAAUUUAGAGAAACUUCUCACCUAAAGAUUUCUUAGAGAAUUUACCAUUUAAAUUUCUACUAAUCUCAUCUUUGGGCAAUUAAUAUUUAAUUCCAAAAUUUUUUUAAAUUUUAUUUUUUUAUUUUGAAUUGAAAAUAAAUAUUUAUUAUUUUUAUUAUUUUUAUUGAAACUUUAUCUAAAUUUUUCUACCAUUUGGGACAAAUUUAGAAAAAAUUUCUCACCUAAGAAUUUUAUAGAAAUUUACCAUUUAUAGUUUCUAAAAAUUUCAUCAUUGGAUAAUUAUUAUUUAUUCUUUAAAAAAUUAUUAAUGUUUUAUUUUAUUUUUUUAUUACUUCUUUUAACUUUUUUUUAAAAUUUAAUUAAGCAAAAAUGCUUUCAAAAUAAAUAAACAAAAUAAAUAAAUAAAAUAAAAACAGCAAAACAGGAAUCGACUUGGCUUGGUUGUUGUGUAUGGCUAGGCUGUAAGCACGAAACUGGCUAAAAAGACUUGGAAAGUGACUUAACUUGGCUUAGUUGUUGGUUGCUGGAUUCUGGGAUUAACCACCAGAAUAUGAGUAAUUACAUUAGAAUUUUACCCUCAAUUGUUGUCAAACCCUUACUCUUACUUUCUCUUCUAUUUUUUUUUUUCAAUUGCUCUUUGAUUGUUGUCUUUUUGUUCUUUGAUUUAAAGGUCUAUUUAUAAGGUACAAUAUGGAGAAUUUCAUAUUGAUUCCAACUUAAAAAUUAGGAUUAUCAUGAAAAAAUAAAAUUUAUCUUUGAAAAGUUUAACUUCAAAUUUAAUCAUGAUAAAACUACAAUUAAAGAUAAACAACAAAUAAGCAAGAUAAAAUAAGUAAUAAAAUAAAAUAAAAAAGAUAAAUAAAAAAUAUAUAUAGAUAAAUAAAGUAAAAACAUAAUUUUGACAAUUAAACUUGGAUCAAAUCUGAGCCUAAUUGAUUUGGGCAUUUGGCCUUGAAAUUGAAUCAGACUUAGUUAAUUUAGACCUCGAACUAAAUUGGGUAUCUACAGUUGCCCCUCUUUCCUCAUUUUCUGUGCAAUAGGAAUUGUGCAACAAUAUAGAUAUUCAUUACAUCUAGAUAUAGCUUAACAACAAUUAUAAAAUCUCAAAACUCCAAAGAUUCACAAUUUGAAAUAUUCAAGAACUUCACAAUUAGACAAUUAGUAACGCAAGUUGAAACUCAAAGAUUCACAAUUUAAGUUCAAAAAAUCACCAUUUUGAAAUUCAAAGGUUCACAAUUCAAUGAUUAGCAAGGUUCAGUUUCCCAAGAAUUUGAUUCACACGGAUUUUCAAAUUCUCAAAAUUUCUAAUUCGCAAGGAUUUUUAGAUUUGCAAGAAUUUGAUUAUCAAAAUUUCAAUUUCACAAGGUUUUUUAGCUUAACAAGAUUUUUCAACCUCACAAGAAUUUAGAUUCACAUGAAUUUGAUUCUCAAAAUUUCAGUUUCACAAGGAUUUAGAUUCACAAAAUUUUAAAUUCGCAAGAUUUUUCAGUUUCACAAGAUUUCAGAUUUGCAAGAACUUAGAUUCACAAAAACUCAUAUUCAUAAAAUUUUAGAUUCAUAAGAACUUAGAUUCACAUUUGAGAGAUUCACAUCCAAAGUUCAAUUCAAGGAUUUGCAUCAAAAUUGCAAGACUCACAUACAACAUUUAAAGAUUCACAUUAUUCUAGAGAUUCACACCCAAAAGUUUAAAGAUUUUUAUUUAAAAAAGUUUAGGAAUUCAUUUCUAAGAUUUCAAAGUUUUUCAUUCGAUUUCCAAGAUUCACAUUUGAUAAAUUUUAGAGUUUCACAUCUAUAUUCAAAGGUUCUCAUUCAAAACAAAAAAUUAGGGGUUCACAUCUAAAAAUUUGAAAGCUUCUUAUUUGAGUUCAAAGAUUUACAUUCAAUAAAUUUUUGAGUUUCAUAUCUAAAUUCAAAGGUUAUUAUUAAAAAAUUUCGAGGUUCACAUUCAAAAUUUUUAAAGCUUCUCAUUCGAGUUCAAAGAUUCACAUUCGAUUGAUUUUAGAGUUUCACAUCUAAUUUAAAGUUUCUCAUUUAAAAAAAAUUUGGGGUUCAUAUCCAAAAGUUUCAAGCUUCUUAUUCAAGUUCAAAGGUUCACAUUCGAUUGAUUUUAAAGUUUUACAUCUAAAUUCAAAGGUUCUCAUUUAAAACUCAAAGAUUCUUACUUAAAACUUAAAGUUUCUCAUUUAAAACUUCUCAAAGAUUCUAAUUUAAAACUCUUUAAAGUUUUUCAUUAUUUUUAACUUUAAAAAUACUCCAUUAAAAGGCUCCAUAACUUUAAAAUUCUAAGUGUUCUCUUCAUAAAACAUUUUUCCAUUUAAAGAUUCUCAAAUUUAUAAAAAUUAUCAAUCUUUUAUCAAAGUCAAAACUUUGUAUAUAAAGAAUGUCAUGAUUAUGAUGCAAAUGAAACAAUCUAGAUUCUCUCAAUAAUGUAGACGCCAUAUUUUAAACCAUAAUUCAAAUGUCUACUACAUGAGGCAAAUGCAUGGCCAGCCAAGAUUCAAAUAUUCACCAGAUUAUAUACAUGUAUUCUUCAAAUAACGAUGCAAACACAAUGCUUGGAAUGCAAAUAUCAAUGUCAUGAAAUUCUUACUUAAUUGUGGUAAUAAGGUUCUUAAGACUCCACCAUCUCAUCUUUUCUCUUUUUAGUAUCUUGGCACUAAUUAUUUUAGAAUAAAUUCUAUCAAUUGAUCCACAUUAUUUUCACCAUUUGAUCACGGCUCAAAGGGUUCACAGCACUAGCAAUUUUAAAACAAAUUUUGUUUAUUGAUUCACAUUAUUUCCAUCACUUGAUCACAAUUCAUAGGUUAUGUCGAUCGAUCCAUUACCAUAUUCAUCACUUGAUCAUCCCAUGUGUCUUUCAAAUCAUCUUUUUAAGCUUUUUUCAUCUUUUUAUUUUCAUUUUUUUUGCCUUCUAGACUUCUUUUUAAAGGAAUACAUGAAUCUUUUCUAAAUAUUAUCAUUCAUUCAUUAUCAUUUCAAUUUUAGACAAAUAUAAUGCAAUCAUAUAUUUUCUUAAUUUAUUUUGAGGAUGCAAAAAUAAGAGAGUACAAGGUGAAUUACGAGAAAGGUAAUCAAUAUAAGAAUGAGUCUGGUACAAAAAUAAAUGGGCAAAGAAAAAAAUUCAAAACAUAUCACUAGGGAUGAUAUUGAAUGGUACAACAAUGUCCAAACAACGAAUACUCAAACAAUUCUUAACAUGAAUCAAAAAUUCUUUUCCAAAAACUCAUUCCAUUGUUUUUCAAAAUUAUAUGAAGCUUAUUGAACAUUGCCCCAGCCUUAAGGGAUUUUUAGAUGUCUUUGAUCUUUCAUAUAUUUGAAUUGUUUAUCUAACUUUCAGUUCAAAUGUUUUUUUACACAAAUCGCCCUUUCAGGUUUUCAAUUUAAGUUUUCCUUUUCUCUCGUUUUACAUUUUUUCAUUUUUUUCAUUUUCAUUUUUUCCUUUCAUUUUUUUUAUUUUUUAAUUUCUCAUUUUUUAUUUUUUUCUUUUCUCAUUUUUUAUUUUUUUCUUUUCUCAUUUUUCAUCCAUUAUUGAUAUCUCCCACACAUCAAUCUCUAAAACACAUAACAUGAUUCCAUUAUUCCAUUAGAAGCAUGCCCUAGCCUAACAUAUGAUCAUUCAAUUUGAAUGUUCACAUUUGAUCAAAAUAGACUUUUAAAGGUUGUAAUGUAGGCUAUGGUGAAGGGUCAUGAAAGAAAUUGAUAAAAUAGGCUCAAAACACAUGUUUAAAUGGUUCAAACCAAAUGAUCAUUUCCCAUCAUGUAAUGCAGUUUAGCACUUUGCCCUUUUUCAUACCAUUUCACUAUUUUUUUCAUCUUAUUUCUCACAAAAAGAUUCUCAUUACUUCAACCCAAAUCAUUUGUUGCAUUUAUUUUCUUUUUUUUUAUAUAUAAAGGAUUAUUUUUUCCCUUUUUUUUUUUACUCUUUAUCUUUAUAGCCUUUUGUGAUCUCUUGUCCUUUUCCUUCUUCAAGUAUGUUUUUCUCAAAAUUUGCCCUUCAGUAUAGAGGAUAAUCCUUGGUUGGGUUUCUUUAGGAAAAAAAUCAUAAUAAGCUCAAAAGGGGUAACAAUAAAUGGUUUUAUGAAUGGCAAAAGAAAUAUGAUCAUUUUUCAUCUCAAAUGUGAAUGUUUUCUUUAAAGAUCAUCUAUUAAACAAAGAUAAACUCAUGGAUCAUUAUAAAUGAUUGCAUAUCUUCAAGACAUAUCUAUUUUAUAUCUGCUAACAGCUUACUUUUCUUGCUCAAAUAGUUUCCAUAGAUCAAUGUGAAUGAGUUCUCAAAAUCAAAUCCUAGAAUUAUUGUUAUCAUUGUCUAAACAUUCAUCAUUAAGAAUUGGAAUAAAAGAUAUGUGAAAAAACUAAGCAUGGAAUAGUAGUUGGGAUAAAAGAAAAAAUAUAAUGAAAUACACUAUACUAACCUUUUAUUAAAAUGAUAAAAAAAUGAAAUCUUAUUACACAAAAAAAUCCUAACAUUACUCUAAAAAGAAUCCCAAAAUGACAAGCAACACCAACUAACCUUAAUGUCCUUGUCCAUUUUAAAAUUAUGCCCCUGUGUGAUUAGGUGAAUGAUUUUUAUUGAUAUCUUGCCCCCUUAAUUCAUUAAAGCUCACCAAGCUUUUUUCGGAUUAAACUUUGCACCUUAUGUUUGAAAGUAGGGUAAGUUUCAAUAAAAUGACUCAUAAUCCUAUUAUGAUAAUCGCAUGUCACAUUAGCAUCAUACCAUUUUGGAUAGGGUGGUUUUAACGGUUCUAGAAUAACUAGAGAUACCAAGUCAUUCUUAACCAGUUCUGGGAAUAACUCAGUGUAAAGUCAUACGAAUAGGAUCAAUGUGAGCCUUUUCUUGGUUAUUUUGAGAUCUCCUUAAACCACUUACUUGGUUGUUAAGCUUUGAAGCUGAUGUAGUGAUAUAACUAGAUCCAUAUACAAGUAUUUGAAAUGUUGAUUAAUAAGUUAGUGGGUAAGCUAGUUAUGGAUAUGGUUGGUAAAGGGCCUCCGUAAUACAUUAAUUGUGGGAUAGUAAACAAGAUGAACAAGUGGUAGAUAUGAAGCAUAGCUUCUAAAUUGUUGCCUAUCAAAAUUCAUAGCUUAGGUUUCGACUUUUUUCUUUUUAGGCAACCCUCUUUUCCAGAUAGUUUCUCUUUCAUGAAACUUGCCACGUUGAUAGCAUUUUUAAUAAAUUUUCUUGAAAUCACUAUAUCAAUAAAUUUUUUUGUUGCAUUCCUUAUCAUAUUUUCAUAAUAGGGGAUUUUAAAGUACUUACAAAUAACACUGUGAUCUUUUUUUAGUCAAAAGUGGCUAAACUUAAGUAGCUAUAUCUCUUCACCUUUAGGCAUACUUCUUAAAUGAUUCAGUUACCUUCUUCUCCCUAUUUUGUAAGAAAAAGUAAUCAAAAGCUAAAUCUAUUAUAUAUCGAUACUAACUAAAGAAGUCACAGGCUAUCUUACUCCAAAAGUGAAUGCAGGUCUUGUCCAAUUGGUCAUACCAUCUAGCAGUAGAACCAAUAAGUUUAUCUUGAAAUACGUAUAUUAACAGCUUCUCAUUAUUAGCAUAGGCAACCAUCUUCUGACAAUAUAUAGUAAUGUGGGUCUUUGGACACUUUGUACCAUAAUAUUUCUCAAACUCUAGUACUUUAAACUUCAACAAAAUAACAACAUCUGAGAUUAAAUUGUGCCAAGUAGCAUCUAUAGAACCAUAAAAACCAAUUCCCUCUACUGCUCAUAACCUUUCCUCGAGCAUAUUCAUCUUUCUAUCAGUUAUUAAUCCUUCUAAAGUCUCUUUCUCCUUAGGCCUCAGUUUAUUUUUCUCUUUUAGGUCAUCCAAGUUAGAGAUUGGUAUUGAUUCUACUAUUUUCUCAAUAAAGAUAGAAUUUACAUAACUCUGAUAAUGCCUUAGAUUUGAGUCGAUGGCAUUACAGGGUAUGUAUACCCUACAAGGUAUUUCUAUUACUAUGAUAAUGCAUCUUGUGUGGACUAGGCUUGAUGUGGCCCAUAACUAGGAAGAUAAAGAGGAUCAACAAUAUCUUAUACGGAAUGGUUUUGCAAGUUGGUUUUUUGUACACUUUUUCCCUUGUUCAAUUUAUUCAAAAAUAUUAUAAUCUUAUUCAACUCCCCUUCGAGCUUUUCUCGAGCUUUUUUUAUUUUUUCCAAAUGAUUUGCAUUUUCCUAUUCCAUUUGCCUAGCUCGAGCUCUGGUGUUGUACUGAUGGUGAAUGUGUUGAAUUGGGUUCUUAAACAGUGGAGCUAUCUUUAAACCUUGUACCAAAUUAGCUUACUUAUGUUACUAAAUGUGUAUGUGAAGAAGCUUUCAAAAUUAACCUAACUGUUUUAAGAAUGAAUGCAUUGAAUACUUGACAUAACAACUUACGAUUCAUAAACACAUGAAUGUAUGCACAGCAAUGUAUGAAUGCAUGUAUUGAUGUUUGUCCCAUUAUGAUGCAUGGGUGGAUACAUAUGUUAGUGAUGCUAAAAUAAAAUACAACACACAACAUGCAACAAAUUAAUCAACAAGGAUAAAAUAAUGUUUAUCAUGAAGUUGAUAUGAAUGAAGCUCAAAAGGUUCACUCAUAUGUCCUAAUUAGGGUUAUAUUCUAAUGAUAGGUAGAUAUGGCUCUAACCUAAGGUUGGCUUCUUAUUUUAUAUAUAGUUUGGGUUAAAUCUGAAGGUUCCCAAAUUGUUCUCCUUCAUCACAAGCUAGUAAGACACUCCAAUCCUCACCCAUCAUAAGCUACAAACGAAAAAAAUUCAAUUUAAGUUAGAGUAUUUCAUUUGCCAUUACAAAGAUUACCAUCUUACAAAAAUGUAGGUACUUUACUCUUUCUUAAAGAGGAUAGAGCCCGAGUAUAGAGCUCAUAUGAUGCAUAUGCAUGUGAUGGUGUGUGAAGGAACACAUAUCUUUAUUCAUAAUUUUCACAAGCCAAGUUAAAGAAUAAAAAAAUAAUAAUUCAAGAUCAACCAAAAAAAAAAAAGAUAAUUCAAAAGUAAUUAAUGGCCUAACUCCUAGUAUCCCUAGUAGAGUCGCUAUACUAGCAUAAUAUAUAGAUUUGUAAAUCUAUAGCUAGACUUAACAAGAGAAGUUACCGCCAAUCUUUUUUCUAGGUGUGAUUGGUCACCUAAUGAAUCUACCCUUUUAAAAAGCUCCUAAGCUUGACUAAAGGCCCUUAAAAAAUAGGUUCUGACCUUUUAAACAGAACUAGGUUUAGAAUUUCAAUUACGUGUGGGGAAGGUUAUAGUGCCCCCACAACACCCAUCUUAAGAUGAUACCAUUUAAUUUUAAAUUAUCCUAACAAGUAUCUUGGUUAUAAUGGUUUUUAUUUUAAUGUUUAAAUAUUGAAAAUGACUUCUAUGAUUUCUCCAUCAAUUUGGUAGAAUUCUUACAAAUACUUCCUCACCUCAAGAGUAUUCAAGAAUCCUAUUUGUUUUCCUAAAAAAGCUUCGUCGUUGAAAAAAGAUUUAAUCAUUUCAAUUUUUUAUUGAAAAUAUAUCUAAUUAUUCCACAAUUUAGGCCAAAUUGGAAAUAUCUUCUCACUUAAAAUUUUUUUAGAUAAUUAACUAUUUACAAUUAUUGAGAAUUUCAUCAUCGAGAUUUAUUUUUAUUUUUUAUUUCUAAAUUUUUCACUAUUUGGGUCUAUUUAAAAAUUCUUUUUUGUUUUUGUUAUUUUUGGAAGAACAUAAUAUAACAUUUUUUUUUGAAAUUUCAUUUACAUUCAUCCACUAUUUAGGUUAAAUUUAAAGAAAAUUUCUCACCUAGAGAUUUCUUAGAAAUUUUACCAUUUGAAAUUUUUAAGAUUCUCAUAUUUGGAUAAUUGUCAAAUACAUUUAGCGAAAAAGUUUUAUUUGGAAAAGAAUAGAAUUACUUUUAUUAAAAUUUCAUCUAAAUUAUUCCACCAUUUGGGACAAAUUUAAAAAACAUUUUCACCUAAAAAUUUCUUAGAGAAUUUACCAUUUCAAUUUUCUAAGAAUUCAUCCUUGGAUAAUUAGUAUUUAAUUCCAAAUUUUUAUUAUUUUUUAUUUUGAAUUGAAAAUAAAUACUAAUUAUUAUUAUUGAAACUUUAUCUAAAUUAUUCCACCAUUUGGGAUAAAUUUAGAAAAAAAAAAUUUUACCUAGGAAUUUUAAAGAAAUUUACCAUUUACAAUUUCAAAUAUUUCAUCAUUUAAUAAUUAUUAUUUAUUCUCAAAAAAAUUAUUAUUAUUUUUUAUAUUUUUAUUAUUUUUUCUAACUUUUUUUAAAAUUUAAUCAUGCAAAAAUACUUUAAAAAUAAAUAAACAAAAUAAAUGAAUAAAUAAAUAAAUAAAAUAAAAAAUACCAAAAUAGGAACCGAUUUGGCUCGAUUAGUGUGUGUGGCUAGGCUGCAGGCACGAAACUAGCUAGAAAGGCUUGAAAGUGGCUCAACUCGACUUAGGUGUAGGUUGCUAGAUUCUGGGAUUGACCAUCGAAAUCUGGGUAAUUAUGCCAGAAUUUUACCCUCAAUUGCUUUCAAGCCCUUGCUAUUAUUUUUCCUUUAUUUUUCUUUCCAAUUGCUCUCUGAUUGUUGUCCCUUUGUUCUAUGAUUUAAAGUUCUAUAGUACAAUAUGGAGAAUUUCAUAUUGAUUCCAACUUAAAAAAUUAGGAUUAGCAUGGAAAAAUAAAAUUUAUCUUUGAAAAGUUUAACUUCAAAUUUAAUCAUGAUAAAACUAUAUUAUCACUAGUCACUCCUUUUUAAUUUAUGGCCAUUCAUUCUUUUUUUCAAUUAUCCAUUUUUUUUGAAAUAUCCAGAUAAAUUUUAAAAAAAUUAGACAAAUAUAAGGGAAUACAAUUAAAGAUAAACAAUAAAUAAAUAAGAUAAAAUAAAUAAUAAAAUAAAAUAAAAAGGAUAAAUAAAAAGAUCUAUAUAGAUAAAUAAAGUAAAAACAUAAUUUUGACAUUAGGCUUGGAUCAAAUCUGAGCCUAAUCGAUUAGGGCCUUUGGCCUUGAAAUUAAAUUGGGCCUAGUUGAUUUAGACCUUGAACUAAAUUGGUUGUUUACAACUGAUGGUCAUUCUAGUAAGAUAUAUAUAUCUAAGGUCAAAGGAAGAUGCUAAAGAGAAACUGAGUGUGGAAGAAGCUUUUGCCAAGUUGUCCAUCCAGAUAAUAGCUGAAAAAGAUAGAAAAGUCCAAGAGAAAAUGUGUUGGUCCAUCCAUGUCUACCAAGCUUUGAACUAAAAAAUUAGAGUAUCAUCAAGACACUUGCUGUCCUUAAUACCUUUCAAUAUAAUUAUAAAUCCCAAUUGCCUAUGGCCAAAAGUAUUGGGAUGGCCUUUUAUGUACAGGCCUUUUAUCAGUUAUUAUCUUAAUAAAAGAAUAGAAGUAUGCAUUUUCCUUCAUUUUUUCUAUUCAGUUUUCAUUUUUCAUCUAGUCAAAACAUUUUUCCAAAACUUUCCAUUUCAUUUAUUUUAGAUCCUUAAAUUAAUAUGAAGAUAAUCAUAAUAACAAUUAGAAAUUUGAUUUUGAAAACUCAAUUAAUGCUGAUGAACUUAACACCAAAGAUGACUAUGAAAAAUGCACUUUACCUUUAGAUCUAAAGAAAUUGAUUGAAUAGGAGAAUAAAUCUAUUAAGCCUCAUCAAGAAAUCACUAAGAUGAUAAAUUUAGGGGAUGAUAAGAAUAAAAAGGAUGUUAAGGUUUGCUUAUCACUUCCAUCAACUGAUAGACAAAAGUUAAAAGAUCUACUUUAAGAGUUUAUAAAUGUGUUUGCCUAGUCCUAUCAGGAUAUGCCAGGGCUUAGCACCAAAAGAGUGGAGCAUAAGUUACCUUUGAAACCUAAAUGUAAGCCUGUUCAACAAAAAUUGAGAAAAAUAAAGCCUAAAAUGCUAUUGAAGAUUAAAAUAGAAGUAAAAAACAGUUUAAUGUAGGUUUUCUACAAGUGGCCAAAUAUCUUAAAUAGGUAACUAAUAUAGUAUCUAUUCUUAAAAAAGAUAAAAAAAUAUGAAUAUAUGUAGAUUAUCGUGAUCUAAAUAAGGCUAGCCCGAAGGAUAAUUUUUCUCUACCUCAUAUAUACACAUUGGUGGAUAAUAAGGCCAAGCAUUCAAUAUUCUCUUUUAUGGAUGAGUUCUUAGGUUAUAAUCAGAUAAAGAUGGCCCAAAAUGACAUAAAGAAAACUAUAUUCGUAACCAUAUAAGGUACUUUUUGUUACAAAGUUACGCCUUUUGGAUUGAAAAAUACCAGCGUAAUUUAUCAAAGGGUUAUGGUAACACUCUUCCAUAACAUGAUACAUAUGGAGAUUGAGAUGUAUAUGGAUGAUAUGAUCACAAAAUAUCGUGAACAAGAAGACCAUGUAACUAACCUCAAAAAGUUGUUUGAGAGGUUAAAAAAGUUUCAACUAAAGUUAAAUCCAUCUAAAUGCACAUUUGGAGCUAAGCCAAGCAAAUUGCUAAACUUCAUGGUUUGUGAAAGAGGGAUUAAAGUUGACUCAAACAAGAUACAGGCCAUUCAAAAUCUAUUUCCUCUAAGCAUGCCAAAGGAAGUUUGAGGUUUUUUAGACAAAUUGAAUUACAUAUCUUGAUUCAUUUUUCAACUUACCUCUAAAUGCAAUCCCAUCUUUAAACUCUUUCAAAAGAACAAUCUUAUUGAGUGAAAUAAAGAGUGUCAAAAAGCUUUUGAUAAGGUUAAGUAGUACCUAUCAAAUUUUUUAGCGCUGGUAUCAAUUCUUUUAGGAAAAUCGUUAAUUCUAUAUUUAACUAUAUAUAAGAAGUCAAUGGGAUGUAUGUUUGGGCAACAAGAUAAGUUUGGUAAAAAGAGAAAAGUUAUUUAUUACUUAAGCAAGAAGUUCAUGAAAUAUGAGUCCAAGUAUUCAUUAUUGGAGAAAAUGUGUUGUGUUUUAGCUUGGAUAGCUAAAAAACUCAAGCAGUACAUACUCUACCAUACCAUUUGGCUUAUAGCCAAAUUGGACCUAAUCAAGUAUAUUUUCAAGAAAUUGUCAUUUUUAGAAGAAUUGCAAGAUGGCAAAUAAUGCUAUCGAAGUAUGAUAUUGUGUAUGUAUGCCAAAAAGCAAUCAAAAGAAGUGUCAUAACAGAAUUUCUUAUAGAUUAUGUUACUGAAAGCUAUGAGCCAAUGAAACUUGAUUUUUUAAAUGAAUAACUAAUGGCCAUUUUUUAGCCAUAAGAAUGAGAAAUCCUAGAAAAUGUACUUCAAUGGGGCUGAUAAUGCCUUGAGGCAUAAAAUUAGGACAAUUUUGAUAUCUCUCGAAGGAUAGUAUUAUCUCGUUAUGGCAAGGUUGAACUUUAAUUACACUAAUUAUGUGGCAAAAUACGAGGCCUAAGUUACAAAUGGCUUUGAAUAGGAAAAUUAAAGUGUUAAAAGUGUUCAGGAAUUCAACUUUAAUCAUUUAUCAAUUGAAAAGAGAAUGGGAGACAAAAGAUUUGAAACUUAUUCCAUAUCAUAAAUAUAUCUUAGAGUUAUGCAAACAGUUUAAGGAAGUUUAAUUUAAACAUGGCAGUGAUAAUUUGGGUUAAUAACAAUACUAAGAUUUAGCUCAUUAAGUUAGAUAUCCAAGAUAUGCUAAUAACAUUGCACUAAUGUGAAAGAGGAAGAAGAUGGAAAGCCUUGGUAUUAUGACACCUGUAAUACUUAAGGAAUUAGUAAUACCCAGAUCAUGUAACAGAGAAUGAUAAGAGAGUCCUGAAGAGAUUGGCUAUGGUUUCUUCCUAGAUGAUGAGGUCCUUUAUAAAAGAAGUAGAGAUCAGAUGUUAUUAUGAUGUGUAAUUAUAGUUGAGGAAAAGAAGAUUAUUGAGGAUGUGCAUGAUAGAGUAUGUAGAGCAUAUGCAAAUGGACACAUGAUAGCAAGAUAGAAUAUAAGAGCUAGAUACUACUAGUUAAUAAUAAAGAGCGACUGCAUUGAUUAUGUUCAUAAGUGUCAUAAGUGUCAAAUUUAAGCUAACAAGAUCUAUGCUCCACCAAUUAUUUUACAUGUUUUGGCACCACCUUGGCCAUUCUAUAUAUAGGGCAUGGAUGUUAUUGGUCCCAUUACUCUAAAAGCAUCAAAUAAAAAUAGAUUCAUUUUUAUGAUGAUUAAUUAUUUCACUAAAUUAGUUGAAGCAUCUUCAUAUAUGAAUGUGACAUGAUCAAUGGUUUGCAAGUUUAUAAAAAAAAAAAAUCUACAAAUAUGGACUCUGAGAGAGGAUCAUCUCAGAUAAUGCUAAAAACUUAAAUAGCAAGAUGAUGAAAGAUAUAUGUGCUUAGUUCAAAAUUAAACACCAUAACUUAGCAUUAUAUUACCCAAAGAUUAAUGGGAUAGAAGAAGCUGCUAAUAAAAAUAUCAAAAAAAUUUUAGAGAAAAUUACUAAAAUGUAUAGAGAUUGUCAUUAGAAAUUACUUUUUGCUUUACAUGCCUAUUGAAUAUUAUUACAUAUCUUUACUGAGGCAACCUCAUUUUUCCUGGAUUAUGGGAUGGAGGUUGUAUUACUAGUUGAAGUAAAAAUCUCAUCUUUCAAAGUCUUAAAGAAAAGUGGGAUUAGAAAAAGCUAAAUGGAUUCAAGAAUGCUAUGAACAACUAAACUUCAUUGAAGAGAAGAGGCUAUUAAUGUUGUGUCAUGGUCAAUUAUAUCAAAAAAGAAUGAUAAGAGCUCAUGACAAAAAAAUUUGACCUCAUCAAUUUUGAGGAGAAGAGUUGGUGUUGAAAAGAAUUUUCCUAAGUCAGAUAAUAAUAGAGGAAAGUGGACCCGAAUUGGAAAAGGUCAUAUAUGGUAAAAAGGGCUUUUUAAGAUGAAGCAUUAAUUUUAACAAAGAUGGUUGGAGAUGAUCUUUCCAAUCCCAUAAAUUCUAAUGCUAUGAAGAAGUACUUUACUUUAAAAAAAAAGAAAGUCCAAAUCAAAAACUUGAAAGGGCAAUUUAAACCAAAAAUAGGUUUAUCCAAGUUGAAAAUAUGUAAAGGCAACUUGGAUAAGGAGAGUAUAGCAUCAUUUGGAAGGUUCACCAACCACAAAGCUAGUAUAUUUUGAAGACCUCUAAAGCACUAAGGGCAUUGGGUGGUUGAGUUUUUGAAAAAAAUCAGAUAUAUGUUGUCAUGAUUAUUUGAUUAUAUAUCUUGAGGCAUUGUUAACCCAAAUAGCCAUCAUUAUAUACCUUUACCAUGUCCAAUUAGCCACCAUUUGUAAUCUGGCUUCUUUUCCAAAUAAAGAUAUUCAUUUCAUUAUUUAUAUCUCAUUUUCAAUCAAUGUCAUUUCUUUAAAUUAUUUGCAAUGAAUAGAAAAAAUGUUUGAUUUGCGUCUUAUAUGUCUUGAAAAUAACAUAAUGAUUGAUAAUUGAAUAAUAUCAUGAAAAAAUAUAUAUUACUUUAGAAAGAGUGAAAGAUACAAAGGCAAAAGAUAAAACUUUCAAAACCUGGUAAGGACAUUGAUUUAGGAAAGAAAAAAAAAAAAACUCUUCUAAAGAGAAAGGCAAGUGCAUACUUUGAACAAUGAAAAAUAGAGCUAAUUUUGUUCCCAUUAUUGGAAAUUUGAAGAGUUUGGAAUUCAAAAGAAAAAUUCUUAAGAAUCUACUAAUUUUGUUCCCAUUAUUGGAAAUUUGAAAAGUUUGGAAUUCAAAAGAAAAAGUCUUAAGAAUCUAUGUACCACAACUAAAAGUUCAUUAAUUAUCAUUUGCACUGCAUACAUUGCAUAUAGGGAUAUCCUUUCCAUUUAUCUAGAGUAGGGAUGUCAUAAGAUCCAAUAUAAAUAAUGUGAAUCCAAAGAUUUCAAAUUUUUAAUAGAGAAGAAAUUUUUAAGGUAAGAUUUUUUAAUCUUCAAAGAAAAAGCUUUUCAAAAUCUUUAAACCUUUGAUUAGAGGACUCUAAUUUAAAGUUAUUUAGCCUUUGUAUAAAAAAGCCUAUUUCUUAGUUUAAAGUUGUUUAGCCGCUAAAUAAAGAAGCUCCUUUCUUAGUUUAAAGUUACUUAGCCUCUGUAUAGAUGAGCUUAUUUCUUUAUUUAUUAGCCUAUGUAUAAAGGAGUUUAUUUUGUUGAAUCUCUGUUUAGAUGAGUUAUUUGGAGUUUUUAAACUUUAUGCCUCUGUUUAGAGAAGUUUGUUAAAAUUUUUCAAAAAUUCGAUGCCUCUUUUUAGAGGAUUUUUUUAAAAUUGCUUGAGUUGAACUAGACUCAAUGGUUGCCUAAGUCUUUACGUCAUUCUUAUUUUACAGAAAUAUGCAAAAAGAGGCAACUAUAGACACCUCAUUUCAUAUGGUGCUCGUAAUUAAACUUUAGUUUGGGUUUUUUGGGCUUUCAAGGCGUCUAUCAGGCCUAUAAAUUGGAGUGGAGCCUUAAAUUGAUUAUAGGCUUUAAGCUAGUAUAGGGUACCAUUUGAUAUUUGGGCUUUGAAUCCACUUUAUAAUUACACUUAUGUUUUAAUUAAAUAUUAAUAAAAAAAUUAAUUUAAAAAUGAUAAAAAAAAGAAAUGAAAUCAGGAAUUUUUUGAAGAUCAAUCCUGAAAUCAUGAUUGAAUAGAAUUGGAAACAAAUCAAAAAUAAAAAACAUUGACCAAAAUCAAAUUAAAACCCAAAAUCAAACAAUGAUUUAGAACAAAUUUGUUAAUGGCAGAUUUGAUCUUAAAUAAUGGAACGUUAAAAUUUUUUACUAGGAAAUCCAUAUAAAUCAUGCUCAAACCCACAAAUACAUAUAUAGAGAUUAAGCAAAAGCAACAAAGAGGAAAUUUUUUGGUUGUAAAAAAGGGUUAUAGUCACCUAUCUGUGUCCGGGGUCCGUCGCAUCAAUUUUUAUUUUUUUUGCCACUAAUGUUACAUUACUACCCUAUUAUUAUAUUACUACUAUAAUAUUAUUAUAGUAUUAUAUUAUAUUAUUAUUAUAGUAUGCUGAUAUUAUACUACUAUUAUUAUAUUAGUAUUAUAUUAUAGUAUAGUAUAUUAUUAUAUUGUAUUAGGUUAUCAUAUUAUGAUUAUUAUUAUUAUUAAUAUUAUUAUAUUUGAUAUUAUUAUUCCUUUUAUUAUUUUUAUCAGAUUGUCUUUCUUUUUCCCUAAUCAGGGCUGAACAAAUUAUGGAAACCGAAAUCAAAUUGGUCAGUCAAAGGUUUUAAUGUAGAAUCAUGUCUAGAUAAUGGUUCAAUUCAAUGGAGAUCAAAUCAGUAAACAAAAUCACGCUCGGGCAAAAUCCAAUCCCAAGAUUCAAGCUUGGAAUUGAUUCUAUUUGUUUUUUAAAAUUUGUUCUAAGGGGGCCUAUAAAUUAAACAAGAAAUCAAAGGAAUGAUAGAAAAAAAAAAGUAGUGAAAAAGCUAGGGUUAUUAUUUUGGAAAUAAUUUUUGGGCAAUAGGGUUUUCUAGAAAAUUUUGGUCUUUUGGGAUUUGGAUUUUUGGGAGUUAUUGGUUUGAUCUAGAGUUUCUAGGCUUAGAUUUGGGAUUAUAAGAUAGCUUUAGAUUUUUUGAGGGAUUUUGGAGAAUUUGGGAAAAAUCUAUUUUUUUCUGGAAAAUUUUGGAAUUUUGGAAAAACAUAUGAAUUUUUUGAUGAAGUUAUUGGCGGGAGUUUGAAGCUUUCAGUGAGAUUUUAGCAAGAUUUUCAAAAACUGGCAAAGUUUAUAUAUUCCAAUUAAAUUUCUAGAUAGGAUUUUAGAGAAAGGGGAAAGAGUUUUUAGGUUAAAAAGAGUGUGGGUAGAAGGUUUCUAAAGCUAAACGUAAAGGCUUAGCUUUUUUACUGGUCCAAAAUGAUAGCAUUUUGAACACCCCAGAUCCGUGUGUCUACCUAGCAACCCACGUGAAGAUUCGCAUACAGACCUAACCCGUUUCACAAGUUUUUUUUUUUUCGUUUUCAUUUUAUUUUUUAAUUUUAAUUUUAAUUUUUAUUAUUUUCUUAAGUUUUUAUUUUAUUUUCAAUAUUUUUUAUUUAAUUUUGCUAGUUUUCAAAAAAAAGAAAAAAUGUUUUCUGGAAAACAGAAGAAGCAAAGAAUAAAAAAAAAAAAGCUAAAGAAAAUAAUCCCUCCAAAUAAGUUUAAAAAACAAAUAAAUAAGUCUAAAAAAGAAAUCUUUUUUCAAAUAAAUUUAUGGAAUCCACCAAACUAUUGAGAAAUUUCAUAAAUUAGUUUUUUUAAAAAGAAAAAAGAAUAAUAGAAUAUUUUUCCUCUAAACUAUUGGAGGAUUAUUUUUAAAUUAAGUUUUACCAAACUAUUGGAAGACAUUUAGUGAAAUUUACAAAAUUGUUAUAAAUCUUUUUACUAUAAAAUCUCAUAAACUAUUGGGAGAUCUGCCUCAAUGUAAAUCCUACCAAACUAUUGGGAGACUUUACUAAUUUUUUUGAAUAAAAAAUUAUAAUAAAUCUUAUGACGGAGCCUCUUUAGAAUAUUACACUAGUCUCUAUGAAUACUCUUGAGGUGAGAGAAUUAUCUUAAAUUACUACCAAACUAUUGGGACAAUUUUAAGAUUAAUUUUCAAUAUUAAAUAAUUUGGUAAAUUACAAAUAUGAUCAAGGCUUGGAUAAUUUGAAAUCAAACUGGUACUAUCCUUUAGAUGGGUGCUUAAGGGUGCUAUAACAUUUCCUCACAUGUAACCGUACUUUUGAACCUAAAAUUUGGUUUUACAGAUCAGAAUCUAUUUUAGGUGGUCAAUCACACCUAAACAAAAAAGAUUGGUGAUGACUCCUUUAAUCUAUGUCUAGCAUUAGGUCCACGAAUCUAUAUGUUAUGACAAUUUGGUGACUCCACUUGGGACAUUGAAAGUCAAUCUAGUCAAUGAUUACUUAUUAUCUAAGCCUUGCUUAAUAAAUUUGAGAUUAUUUUCUAUUUUUCUUAUUUAUUUCUUUUCAUUGCUUAUACUUUAAUUAUUCAUUUAUUUCUUUUCAUUGCAUAUGCUUGCUUAAUUAUUUAUUUAUUUGUUUUAUAUAUAUAUAUAUAUAUAUCUAUCACUCAUUUAUAUAUGCAUAACAUAAGCUAUCUACCCGAGCUUUACCUUUAGGAAAGAGUGAAGUACCUAUGCCUUCAUGAGAUUUUAUGUAUUCGCAUGGGUCUGAAAAACACGUCCACUCAAAUUGAACCCUUUCUGCUGAUAGCUUAUGAUGGGUAAGGAUCGAGAUGCCUUACUAGUCUAUGAUGGACAAUGAUAUAAGGAACAAUUUGGAAACCUAUUAGAGUUAACCCAAACCAUAUAUAGUUAACUUUAAGACCCAAACCAUAUAUAGUUAACUUUAAGAGCUCAACCAUACGUAGAGCCUUAUCUUUUCACCCUUUUUAGCCAAUCCAAAAUUCAAGGUCAUAUUGUUAUCUUACUUGCUAUAUGAUGCUUAUUCUUUUUUAUUAUUAUUAUUAUUGAAGUGACUAACUAAUUUUCUUGUUUUCUUUUUAUUUCUUUUCCUCUUGUGCAUAUUUAUAAACAUACUUACAUAUUGCAUAGUAUUUUUACCCUAAAAGUCAUUUCAACAAAAGCUCUUAUGGACUCUACAGAACGUCAGGUUUGUGCCUUAUCUAUAUUUUUCAAAUGUGACUUGCCUAUAAAUGUGAAACUAGAAUUAAAGAAGAGGCAGCAAGAAAGAGAUUGUUUACCACUUGGUUAUAUUCCACAUUAUCAAAGGAAGUUUGCAUGCUCUUCAAACAGAAUAAUUUGAAAAGCCUAUCAGAUAUAUAGAAUAGCAUGACUCCUUCAAGGUAGAAAGCUUUUUUUCAAAAGUUUGAGCAUAUUGCAUAUCUUUUAUCAGUGGAUGUUGAUAACUCACUCAUUAAAGUGAUGCUAUAAUUUUGAGAUCCUUCAUACUGUUACUUCAUUUUUUAAUAAGGUUGAUUUGGUGUUAAUUAUAGAAGAGUAUUCAACUUUAGUAGGUAUGCAUCUACUAUAUCCAGAUAGAAUAUAUGUGAAAAAACAAAAAUAAAGAAAUUACAAGAAAUUAAGCCAGAUAUUGGGAGUGAGAAAAAAGAUUAUAGAUUCAUACAUUCAAGAAAAAAAAGAUCGUAAGAAUAUUCCAGGGAAAAUUCUCUAAGAUUUCAUUAUUAAAAAUUUGAAUAAUGAUUAGGGAAUGAAUGUGUUCGCUUUAGCCAUAUAUAGGAUGAUCAUCUUUCCUAAAGUCUUAAGCCAUAUUGAGAUAGAAAUGGUUGUUCUAUUUGAGUAGAUAAAAAAAGGGUAACUAUCUUGGCAGAAACCAUCAGAUCUCUGAACUUUUGUAGAUAAAAUGACAAAGCAAGAUUCAUGAGUUGCAUACCAUUACUAUAUAUGUGGAUGAAAAGCCAUUUCGAAUGAAAGAAGAGUAUUUUUUUUCUAAGCUCUUUUUUAUAGUUGAGUCCCAAUUAGGGAGUUCUCUAAUUGCAUUUGGCCACAAGCAAAGACUCAGAAAUGAUGGAAAUGUUUGUUACAAAAACUCAUAGUCGGUCAGGUAAAAUAGUUAGCUCCGUGGAUGAAUCGAGAACCUAUGUUGUAUCAAUGUGGAGCUGAGAUAGGGGUUCCACUUUUAGAGUUAUGCGGGUUAACAAGUUAUGCACCACUAAUGGUAAGGAGACGGUAUAGAGAUGAAUAGUUUACUCCUAUGACUUGUUAGCUCAAACAAUUUGAUUGUUCAUAUGAUGAGCUCAAAACCUUUUAAAAGAUUGAUAGUAUGAUCAUGGCCUAGAAGAAGCCUAAAAAAGUAAGUCAUGUACCAUUUACUAAUAAGGCCACUAAAAGGUAUUUGAUUUAGAGAACCAAAAGGGGCCAAAAAGUGGCAUUUAUACCUAAAAACCAUUACUAGUUAAAGAGUCAAACGAUGUGCCUCUAAAAUCAGAAUCUAAAAUGAAAGAACUUGAAGUAGAGAAAGAGAAAUUGAAACAAGAACUUUUGAAGCUUCAAAAAGAAAAUGAACAGUGGUAAAACAAAGCAAAAAAAUUAAAAGUCCAAGUCUACAAGAUUUUCAAGGAAUAUAGCAAGGCCUAAAAAGUAAUCCAAAAAUGAGAUGAUGCCUUUAAGAAAUUAAAAGAGCUGCGAUAAAAGCAUAAGAGAUUACAAAUAUAGGUGUAGGCCAAAGAGAUAAAUAACACGAAUCUAGCUUAUGAGAAUGAAGAGUUGAAAAAAGAAUGUGCACAAAUAGAAUAUGAUUAUGUUAAAGUUCAACAAGAAAAUGAAAUGCUCUCAAAUUACAUUUUAACCUUGAAACUGAAGUUGGAUGACCAAAGAAACCAUGUUAAAAUGCUCACGAAAAAGCACAAGGAAUUAUCUUAUAAGGUGUGGUUCAGCAAAAGAGAAGGGUUAUGAAGACAAUGAUACAUAGAGCAUCUCACAACUCAGAUAGGUAAAACAGUAAUCAAGGUAGGUGAAAUGGCAUAAGAGGCUGAGGCGUUAAGAGCUUCAGUCACACCAACAGGAGAGCAUUGACAGAGAUUGCCAAACUUCAUUGAGGAGGCUAAAUACUAGUAUAAGCAAGUUAGGUGUUUUUAUAGAGGGACAGUAUUAGAUUUGAUGUAAAAUAGACUCUUGUGAAAUAAAUGAAAGUUUAUUUUUGUUAAAAUUGUUAAAAAGGCAAACAUUUUUCUUUUCUUUCAUUUUUUUCAUACAUUGCAUCACAUUCAUUCAUUGUUAUUUAUUGUCAUGACAUGAUCACUGAUUUUAAAUCAUGGUAUUAAGGUGCAAGAAUAGCUAUGCAUUCGUAUAAUACCUAGCCUAAAGCCAGAAAGAUGGAGUAGGAUAAUGCAAAUCAUCUUGAAAGAACAGAAAAAGCAUAAUAGAUACUUGAAAAAAAAUUUAGCAAAAUUCUGGAAGCUCUGAAAAAAGAAAAUAGAAGAAAGGCAAUAGAGGAAAAUACCUCACCUGAAGCUAUUGAAUCAACAUAUCCUUUAAGUUUCAGUCUAUAUCAGACCCAAACUACCCUAAUUUUUCAACCAUAACAGCCAACCAUUCUAAAUUAUAACUACCCAAGAAUGAUUUAUGUACUUGAUCAUGAGAAUGUCCAAAAUUAUAAUAAUUUUAUUUUUGUCAAAAAGGUAACUGAACCUACUCAACUCCUUACUUUAGAUAACAUAAAAGACAAAGAAAAGUUGUAAGCAACUGCAUCUUUGGAAAAUUCUAAGACUAAUUAAGCCAUGAACAGGAUUAAAGAAAGAUUACGGGUUGUAAAAAGAAUUGAUUUCUACAAAUCCAUGAAUGCAAUAAGACUUUGGUUAGUACCAGACGUAAUGAUACCUCUCAAAUUUAAAGUAACAAAUUUUGAGAAGUAUGAUGGUACUAAGUACCCCAUCACAUAUAUCACAAUGUACUUGCACAAGAUGGCAGCACAUGAUAGCAAUAAAAAGCUAUUCAUAUAUAUCUUUCAAGACAACUUGACUGGAUCUACUGUAAAGUGGUAUGUGUAACUAGAUGAAACCCACAUAAAGUCAUGACAAGAUCUGACCCAAUCCUUUAUUAAUCAAUAUCACCAAUCAUUGAUGUGGCUCCAAUCGCUUUUCAUUGCAAGGUAUUGAAAAGAAAAAAUUUGAAUCCUUUAAGCAAUAUACCUAAAAGUGGCAGAAUGUAGCUGCUAAAGUACAACCUCCCUUGACAAAAAAAAAACUACAGUGCUAUUCAUGAGCACUCUAAAGUCACCAUACUAUGAAAAAAUGAUAGAAAAUACGACUAAAAACUUUGUUGAUAUAGUGAUUUUGAGAGAGAUCAUAAAAAAUACCAUCAAAAAUAACAAAUUUGAAGGAGAAGAGUCUUCUAAAAAAGUGUCUAAAAAGAAAAAAAAUUGAGACUCAAGCUAUGAGUCUUGAAGGGUAGUAAUCCAAAAACUACUUUCGACUAACCUAUCCCAUAUAUCACAACACUGUAAAUCAUACUUCCACUUCCCCUUACCAACCAAUUACACAACCUUCUUAUCCAUCCUCACCAUAAUCACUUACAUAUCCAGUCAACAUAACAAAUAGUGCUUGUGAACCACAAACAAGGAAAAUACCCGUUUUUGAUCCUAUACCCAUAAGCUACAUAGAGUUAUAUCAAGAACUUUACAAAAACCACCUCAUUACCUUCGUUCCUACAAAACAACUUGAACCUCCAUAUCUCAAAUGCUAUGAUGCCAUCAUCCACUGUCACUUAUGGAGUAAUGGCCAUUCUACUAAAAAUUACCUUUUUUUAAAGCAAAAAGUGCAACAUCUGAUUAAAAAAAGGCUAAUAAGUUUUGAUGCUAAUGCAAACUCAGCACCUAAUAUUAGCAAAAAUCUUUUACCUAAUCAUACAGUUAAUGUCUUAGACAAAGACAAAAAGCACAUCAAAAGAAGGGUAAAAGAGCUUAAGAUGUCAUUCAACCAACUGUAUGGUGCUUUAUAUAAGGCUGGGUUGAUACAACCAGUAGCCCUACACACCUAUACAGGAAGAUACAUCCCUAAUCAAAGAUGUAAGUAUCACACUAGAGUUUUAGGUCAUUUUAUUAACAUCUGUAAACAAUUCUGUGAUGAGGUGCAAAAACUAAUAGACUCAUACCAAAUAGAAUUAUGUAAAAAAUCAAAAGCUUUAAAAAAUAUUUGGGUGGCUAUGACAGAUAGGUGGGUGCCAAAACCACCUUAAAAAAUAUAAAGACUGGCACGAAAAAUAACUUUUACUCUACAUGCUUAUCGGACAUCUGUAUGUACUUUCACCAGGGUAAUUCCAUUUUUCCUAGUCUACAAAAUGAAAGCAUAUUGCCAGUAAAACUAGAAAUCUCAUUUUUGAAAGUCUUAAGAAAAGUGAUAUUAGAAAAAGCUGAAUGGAUUCAAGAGUGCUAUAAGCAAUUGAACUUUAUUAAAAAAAAAGAUUGACAACACUCUACCACAGCCAACUGUACCAAAAAAGAAUAAUGAGAGCUCAUGACAAAAAGGUUUGACUCGAUCAAUUUCAAGAAGAAAAAUUGAUAUUGAAAAGAAUUCUUCUAAGCUAACAUGAUGAUCAGAGAAAUGGACUCCAAAUUAGGAAGGACCACAUGUUGUAAAAAGAGUUUUUUCAAGAGAAACCUUAAUCUUGUCAGAAAUGGAUAGAGAUGAGCUUCUUUAUCCCAUUAAUUCCAAUGUCGUGAAGAAAUACUUUACUUAAACAAAAGAAAAAAGAGGAAGUUCAAGUUGAAAACCCGAAAGGGUAGUUUGAACAAAAAAAAAAAAAAGUUCAAGUUGAAAACUCUGAAAGGUGGCUUGAAUGAGAGCAUCUUGGAUGAAUAGAAUAUGGCAUCACUUGAAAGGCAUAAUAGAGACAAUAAAUUUCAAAGAGUUCAAAAAUGUUAAGGCAUCAUGUUUUGGUUAAAUUUUUUAUGACAUCCAAGAUUUGUUGCCAUGAUUACCUUAUUGCUUACCUAAUUGCUUAUAGAUCCGAUCUUAGUCUAGGUCAAAUCAUUUUUAGACUUACAGUAUCAUUCCAAUCAUUAAUCUAUGAUCUUGACUUGGUCUUGGUCACUUUCAAACUUGCAGCAUCGUUUCAGUCAUUAAUAUAUGACUUCGACUCGAUCUUGGUUACUUUCAAACUCGUAAUAUCAUCCCAGUCAUCUGAUCUCGAUUCAAGUCAAAUCAUUUUAAGACUCACAGCAUCAUCCCAAUCAUUAAUCUAUGAUCUUGACUUGAUCUUAGUCGCUUUCAGACUCGCGUCAUUAUCCUAGUCAUAUGAUCUCAAUUCAGGCCAAAUUUUGAUUUAGGCCAAAUCAUUUUAAGACUCGCGACAUCAUCUUUGUCAUUAAUUUAUGACCUCUACUCGAUUUUGAUCGCUCUUAGACUUACGACAUCAUCCUAGUCAUCCAAUCUCAAUUCAAGUCAAAUCAUUUUAAGACUCAUGACAUCAUUUUAAUCAUUAAUUUACGACUUCAACUCGAUCUUGGUCAUUUCAGACUUGCAGUAUCAUCUCAGUUAUUCAAUCUAGACUCAGGUAAGAUCAUUUUAAGACUCACAGCAUUGUCCCAAUCAUUCUUUUUUUACCUCAAUUUGAUCUUGGUCACUUCUAGAUUUGUGUCAUUAUACCAAUCGUCCAAGCCAGAUUCACAUCAUCGUCAUAAUCAUUCAUCUUCGACCUUGACUCGAUCUUGGUCGUUUGCUGACUUGCGACAUUGUACUAGUCAUUCAACCUAGCUCGAUCCUGGUCACUUUUCAACUCGCGAUUUAUUUUUUAUCAGUUUUACUACUGAUUUAACUCAACCAAAGUGGGUAUCUAGGUCUUUACAUCAUCUCUAUCUAAUAGUGAUGUGCAAAGAAGGACAACUGUAGACACCUAUCUGUGUCUGGGGUCUAUCGCAUCAAUUUUUAUUAUUUUUUACCACUAUUGUUACAUUAUUAUACUAUUAUUACAUUACUACUAUACUAUUAUAAUAUUAUUAUAGUAUUAUAUUAUAUUAUAUUAUAUUAUUAUGAUAGUAUGUUGAUAUUAUAUUACUAUAUUAUAUUAGUAUUAUAUUAUAUUAUAGUAUUUUAUUAUAUUAUAUUAGGUUAUCAUAUUAUAAUUUUUAUUAUUAUUAUAUCCGAUAUUAUCAUUACUUUUAUUAUUUUUAUCAGAUUUUCUUUCCUUUUCUUGAUUAAGGCUAAACAAAUUAUGGAAACUGAAAUCGAAUCAAUCAAUCAAAGGUUUUAAUGCAGAAUCAUUUAUGGAUAAUGGUUGAAUUCAAUGGUGAUCAAAUCAAUGAAAAAAAUCCCGCUCGAGUAGAAUCCAAUCUCAAAAUUCAAGCUUGGGAUUGAUUAUGUCCAUUUUCUAAAAUCAAUUCUAAAAGGGCCUAUAAAUUGAACAAGAAAAAAAAAGGUAGUGAAAAAACUGGGGUUAUUAUUUUGAAAACAAUUUUUGGGCAAUAGGUUUUUUAAAAAAAAUUUUGGUUUCCUAGGAUUUGGAUUCUUAGGAGUUUUGGGUUUGAUCUAGAGUUUCUAGGUUUAGAUUUGGGAUUCUAAUAUUAUAUUUAGAUUUUUAGAGGGAUUUUGGAGAAUUCGGGAAAAAUCUAUUUUUUUCUAGAAAAUUUUGAAAAUUUGGAAGAGCAUAUGAAUUUUUUGAUGAAGUUUUGGGUGGGAGUUUGAAGUUUUCAAUGAGAUUCUGAUGAGAUUUUCAAAAACUAGUGAAGUUUCCAGAUUUUGGUUAAAUCUCUAGGUAGGUUUUUAGAGAGAGAAAAAAGAGUUUUAAGUUAGAGAGAGUGUGGGUAGAAGGUUUUUGAAGCUAAACAUAAAGGCUUAGCUUUUAUACUAAUCCAAAAUGAUAGCGUUUUGAACACCUUAGAUCACGCGUUUACCCAAUAACCCAUUUGAAGAUCCGCUUAUACACCUGACCCAUUUCGCAGGUUUCUUUUUUUCAUUUUCAUUUUAUUUUUAAUUUUUUUUUGUUUUCUUAAGUUUUAUUUUAUUUUCAGUAUUUCUUUUAAUAGUUUUGCUAGUUUUCAAAAAAAAGAAAAAAAUCUUUUCAAAAAUAAAAAAAGCUAAAGAAAAAAAAUCCUUUCAAAUAAGUUUAAAAAACAAAUAAAUAAGUCUAAAAAAGAAAUUUUUUUAAAUAAAUUUAUAGAAUCUACAAAACUAUUAGAAAAUUUCAUAAAUUAGUUUUUUUAAAGAAAAAAGAAUAAUAGAAUAUUUUUUCCUCUAAACUAUUGAAGGAUUAUUUUUAAAUUAAAUCUUACCAAACUAUCGGGAGACUUAAUGAAAUUCACAAAAUUUUUAUAAAUCUUUGUACAAUAAAAUCUCACCAAACUAUUGAAAAAUUUGUCUUAAAGUAAGUCUUACCAAACUAUUGAGAUACUUUACUAAUUUUUUUGAAUAAAAUAUUAUAAUAAAUUCGAUGAUGAGCUUUUUUAGAAUAGGAUAUUAGUCUCUAUGAAUACUCCAGAGGUGAGAGAAUUAUCUUAAAUUGCUAUCAAACUAUUUGAACAAUUUUAAGAUUAAUUUUUAAUAUUAAAUAAUCUGACAAAUUACAAAUACGAUCAAGGUUUGGAUAAUUUGAAAUCAAACUGGUAUUAUCAUUUGGAUGGGCACUGUGAGGGUGUUAUAACUUUUCUCACACAUAACCGUACUCCCAAACCUAAAAUCUAGUUUUGCAAAUCAAAAUUUGUUUCAGGUGACCAAUCACACCUAAACAAAAAAGAUUUAUGGUGACUCAUCUAAUCUAUACCUAGCAGUAAGUCUACGGAUCUAUAAAUUAUAACAAUGGUUUUUGAAUUUUUGGCUUUAUUUUAUUUUCUAGGACUUUUGCACUUGGUUUAGUUUUUUUUUUUUUUUGGAACUAGGAUUCAAUCUUUUGUUUGAUUGGAUUUCUUUUAGGUUUUUAGGGAUUUUGGAUUCAAGUUUUUGAUUUUUUUUUUAGAAUUUUUGGAAAAUUCUUUGAAUUUUCUUAUGAAGGGUUGAAGUUCCCAGCAACCGGCAUUAAAAAUCUUGCCAGCUUUUAGAAUUUUUUCGCCAGAUUCUGGGCACCAUUGAAUUUACUAUUUGAAUGCUAAAGAGAGAAACAGAGAAAAAAACGUGUUAGAGAGAAAAUAUUCCAGUAGUUCUAAAAAGAAAAAAAAUGAGAUUUAGGGGUUUUAUUCUUGUAUAAAACAACACUAUUUUUUGGAUUCAUAAAAACCUAGGAUCUAUGCAUUUUACCACAUUCUAACCUAACCCACAGUGUGGCCCAUCCUUUAACCUGAAUUUCCUUUUUGCUCUGAGCCAAGCCAUGCCUUAGUUGAGUGUCGAGCCAUGUCGAUCCUUGUGCCUGCAGCCGCACUCUUUAGCCACUAAGCCAAGCCGACUUGAGGUAUUUUUUAUAUGCUUAUCUUAUUUAUUUGUUUUAUUUACUUAUUUAUUUAUUCAUUUAUUUAUCUACUUGUUUUUUAAAAUACUCUUACAAAAUCAUAUUUAAAUAAAAAAGUCUUACCAAUAAUUUGCAGAACCAAUAUUUUAUUUUCAAAAUAAAGUUUUACCAACAUAUUAGAAUGCUUUACAAAUUUUAAUUUUAAAAAAAUAAUUUUUAAAAAAAGCCUUACCAAUAUAUUAGAGUGCCGAUAUUUUAUUUUCAAAAAUAAGGUUUUAUCAACAUAUUGAAAAGCCUUAUAAUUUUUUUAUAAUUUUGAAUAAAAUAAAAUAAUAUUUCUUUUUUUUUUCAUAAAUUCUUAUAAAUAUAUUGGAGGAUAAUUUUUUAUAAAAAAUUUUAUCAACAUAUUGAAAGGUAUUCUGACCAUAGACUAGGUUUGUAGAAAUUUACUUCUACAAGCAAAAUUAAAUGAAUUUGAUGGCAAAACUUUUUUAAAGCGUGACAAAUAAUCUCCUUGAAUAUUUUUAAAGUGAGAAAAAAUUCUUAAAUUAUUACCAACAUAUUGGAGUAAUUUAAGGAAAAUUUCUAAUGUUAAAAUUAUUUGGUAAAAUUAUAAAUAUAUUUUAAAGCUUGGAUAACUUGGAAUCAAACUAAUAUCAUUUUUUGGAUGGGGGCUGUAAAGGUGUUAUAACCUUCCCCACGUGCAACUAUACUUUCAAACCUAAAAUUUGGUUUCAUAGACUAGAAUCUUCUAUUUAAAGAUACCUAAGUUAAUCUUGAGAUUUCUUUUUAAAUAAAAUAGAUUUAGUCAAAUGGCUAAUCACAUCUAAACAAAAAAAAAUUAGUGACAACUCUUUUAAUUUAUGUCUAGUGAUAGAUCCACAGAUUUAUUCGUUAUGACAAAACUCAAAUCUCAACAUUUACAACUAUUUUUCGUAUUCUCAAACAUUCUCCUUAAUUAAAACAAAUAGUCUGAAUAAAAAAUUAGGUAUGCUUAAUUUGUUUGAAUUGUUAAGUUACUUUGUUCUAAGUUUUAAAAUUUUUAACUUCUUUUCAUAUAUGUUCAAAUUUUAGGUUAUAUAAUCAGAGACAAGUAAUUUAUAUUCAUAUUUCAUAUAAAAAUUGUUUCUGAUUUAUAAGAUUUAAAUUUAAAUUAUAAUUUCAAAUUCUUUCUAAUAAUUAGAUCAUGUAAAAUCAAGAUAUAUUUAAAUUUAUACUUUAUUCUUAUUCUUAACCUCUUUAUUAUUAGAAUAAUUAAUCUAUAUAAGUAUAUACCAUAUAUAUUCAUAUCCAUAAUGUCUUUUAUGAAAAUGAAAAAAAUACUCAUCAAAGAAGAAUCAAAGCAUGUGCAAGGAAUAGUGAACCUUUGGAAUUUGCCUAGUACAAACAGUUAGAGAAGCAUUUCUAAAAUACAACAUGUAUAGGGUUUAAAAGAAUAAAACUUUGACAAAUAGGUUUGGUUUUUGUUUUAAUAAUUAUAUUUAUUUAUGUUGAAGUCAAGUACGUGUAAAAAGUGAGAUAUGUUAAUUUAAAAUUUAAUUCAGUUAAUUUAUAAAAUUAUUUUUAAAAAAUAGUAUUUGAUUGAAAUUUAAAUCUCAAUACUUGUAUUUUUUUUGUUUUAUUCCGAAUAACUUUUUUUAAAAAGAAAAAAUGAGUCAUGUGGAUUUUUUUUUUGUUGACCUUUUAUCAUUUGUUAAUCUACCUUUGGUCCAACUUUUCUACAGUAUACUAUUAAUUUAAUAACCAUCACUUCUUUGAAUAAUUUUAACCUUACAAUUAAAGAGGUAAAACUUUUCCAUUGAUAAGAACUUACUCAAGUAACUUCUUGGUCAAGAAAAUAGCUAUCUCCAUAUUGAAAUUUAAUCAUGAAAUUAAAUCAUUAAUCUUGCUACAUAAUUCAUCCAAUAUGAUUUAAUUUGAUUGGAACAUAUAUCUAAAUUUAAGUAUACAUGCAAAAAAAAAAGCAGAUGAUUCUUAAGUGAUGAAAAAACUUAUGUAAUUUGAAACUUAACUCUGUUAGUUUAUGCAUAUAGUUGUUUUUGGAGAUGAUAUUUAUUAAAUUUGAUAUUCAAAUUUUAACACUUUCUCUCAUUUCAAAGCUACGAUCCUCUUUUAUUACAAGAAAAAAAAACUAGAAAUAAUCUUUUAUUUGUAACUUUAAACCGGUGAAUUUAAAUUGCUAAGACUUUGAAGUCAUAUUUUCAUUGGCAAAGUUUAUUUACAUUUAUUUCAAAAGUAGAGAAAAAAAGGCCAUUUGGCCUAACAAUCAAUAUCCUUUUGAGCAACUUCGCAAUAGAUGAGCAUUGGCCUCCGAUCUGCCCAACAACUAAUCUACUGAGGAAUUGGCAGAGCUUGAGGCAAAGAUUGGUUUGAUGCUGAAAUCGUUUGUAGUUUGCAGUCAACAGAGAUCAAUUGAGCAGAGUUAUUAUUGUUUUCGUCAACAGAAUUCAUGUUGAUUAUUUGUAGCAAAACACGCUCGAGCUCUUCACCAUCACUCCAUUCAUGAAUCUCAGCCUUGACGGGCAUAGGAUUCCUGCAAAUUAAAUCACAGACUGGAAAAUUCUUCCUUGGCAUCAUGUACUCUGCUUCUCCAAGCCUUCGACUUGGACAAUAAUCUCCGGUACCAUCUCCUAGGUAGAUGAUUUUUUUCUUCCCCUCUAAAGAAUCUUGAAUCCUUUCAAUGAUUAUCCCCUGUUACACAAAGCAGAAGCCAAAAUUAAAAUUUUUGACAUCUUAUUUCAUGAUUUCAUUAAAUUUAUAUGAUUGUUGACCCAUGUCAAGAUCAUUGGUUUCGUUUAUGUCCUUAUAGGAGGCAUUACUUUAACAGAAUAAGUGGGGUCAAGAAAAGAAGUUAGACAUAUCGAAAAUGAGGAGAAAAGAAGUUAGACAUCUAAAAUGAGGAGAUUUAAAAAAUAAAGAAAUAAAGAAAAACUUCCAAGCUAGUUGGAUGAAAUUGACUAUGUACAUGUGGAAUACCAUCAAGUAAUAAAAUUUUCUAGAAUUUUUCACUUACAUGAAAAAUUUAGGUCUACAAAAGUUUGGUGUCUUGAUUUAAAAUAUUUACAAUUGUGAUAUUAAUGAAAUUAAAUCUCAUGUUACUGAUGAAAAAGAUCUGAUACGUUGCACAUAUUUGAAGGACAGAGGUUGCAGCCGUGGGAACUCUUUGUGAAAUCAUGGUAAGGGAUGAUCCUCAGCCUCCCUUCUUCAUCAACAAAGCUGGGGUUGGUGUUGAUCUCUGAGAAAUAUUCCCUCAAUCCAAGAUGUUCCAGAAUUGUCUCAAUAAAGAACAUGUUCGCAUCACUCACAAUCCUGAGUUCACACCUGAAAAAAUAUUCAAACCAAUUUGAUCACCUUAAAUUUCUAUUUCUUCAAACUUUAGUUUUAUAGUCACAGGUCAAACACCAAGAGGAGAAGCAUAGAAAAAAAGCAGUACCCUAAAGGAUGAGCUGAUUUAAUAGCGGGGACGAUCCUAGGAUGGAUAGGAGCUCGUUUCAGAACCUCAGCAGUGUCAUCAAUGGUUUUUCCCUGGGCAUGAAGCUCCUUCAUCAUCCUGUCCUGUAAUUUUAUACCACAAACACUGAGUUUCAAUUUUUAUAAAUGUAAAGCCAACAGAAAUAGAAAUUGCAGAGGGCUUAAUAUGGGUUACCAUGAGAGAAUUCCAGGGCAUGGUAGGAAGAAGCUGGUUGAACAAGUCGGUGAAACCCAAGUCAUCGACAACCCAGUUAUCACUAUCACAGUCGAUGAUGGUUUUGUCAAAAUCAAAAACCAGAACAAUUCCAGCCAUCUCUCUGAAUGAAAAUCAAACAAAACACAAAACAAGAAUGGAAAAACUCGACGACUCUUUGAAUGUUGUUUUCUUGGUAUAGAAUCACGUAACAGGGGAAGGGUAUUUAUAUGCAGAAAAAUGUUAUUAGGUUGAAACAACGGAUUUUUCUAUGCCAAAGGAAUAUUACGUGAAGGGGUUAUAAGGUGUAAGUAGGAAGCACCAAGCAGGCCACAAGAAGCUGUUUUCCCUGCAAGCUUCCUACGCAAAACAUACUAAUCUGAUACAACUGCUUGCAAAUUAUUUCUCUGGUAUAAGCAAUGUUAACCGUUUGAUGGAUUACUUUUGAACCAUGUGAUCAAUCAAGUUCAGUCGGCGGAUCAGGGGUAAAAGGGUGUCGGUUAAUUAUGAAAGGGUUUAGGUUUAAGGUUUAAGGUUUAUCAAACUCCUCUCCAUUGCUUCAUUCGCUUACUUGUGCCUUUCCUAGCCUCCUGUUUUUGCAAAUCAAAUCCCAAACUGGGAGAUACUUCCUUGUCAUUGCAUAGUCCCCAUCUCCCAGCUUCAAACUUGGACAGGAAUCGCCAAGCCCAUAGCCGAGGUAGAUUAUUGUUUUCUUCUCCUCCACGAGCAUGAGAGAGACUUGGAUCCUUUCAAUCACAAUACCCUAUUAAGAAAGAGUACAAUCAUUAAUCAAUAGGAUGGGAAGAAAAUGAAGAUAACUUAAAAAUAAUUAGUAGCAUAUAAUUAUAUAUCUUACAGCUAAUCAUGCUUUGGAUUCAUUACGUGUACUAAACAUUAGAAUUCAGUUGCGGAUGCAUACGGUAUAAUCGGGUAUUCAUGUACACCUCCACAGAUUCGAAAAUAAAAAGUGUUUUCUUUGGACGCCUUCAAAUUUUGUUUUGGAGACCUUCAAAAUUUUCUUUUUGAACAUAUCUUUCUUAAUUCCUUAUUCCUUAAUCCUUCACUUACUGCCACUAUCUAAUAUCCAAUCACAUCUCACAGCCAGUUAAUGCCCAACACCCAGUAAACAUCCACUAUAAUAAAUGGACACCUCCAUAAAAAUAUCUUGCAUCUGCUACUGUUAGAAUUCAGUCAUAUUUGAUGCAUGCAUGCAUGGUUCACGUUGUUAGUAACUAGUAUGAUUUUCAAGUUAAAAAUGACAUACCUUGCACAUGUUUGGAAGGCAGGGAUGAUGACAUCCAUGAGUAGAUUGAGUGUAAUCAUGGUGAGGCAAGAUCCUUAGCCUGCCUUCUUCAUUUACGAAACCUGGGUUGCUAUUGAUCUCCGGAAAGCAUUCCCUCAGGCCAUGAUGCUUCAAAAUUGUGUCGAUGAAGAACACCUUCGCGUCGCAUACAAUCUUCAAAUCACACCUAAAAUUAAUAGUGCCAUACGACUUUUUUUUUUUUUUUUUAUAGCGAGAAAACCAGAAAGAAAAAUUAAAUAUACAUGCCGGUAGGACUGAAGUUGGCAAGAAGGAAACUCCUAAAGCUAAGAAAUGUUGCCAGAGAGCUUAUUAAGUGUAUGGUCCUUUAAUUGCUUCUUGCGACAGAGGAAUAAUAUCCCAGGCUGCAAUCCCUGAGAAUGCAACUGUGGCAUCUGCUCUCUCAACAAACGAUUGGACUCAAUAUCUCACUGCUUCUCUACAGAUGAGGGAUAUGCAGCAGAUGUUGGCUGGUCUGACCUUCACUGAAGAAGAAGAUGUUGUUGGCUAGCAUCAAAGUCUGGCAAGUUCAUACUUUCAAAUACAUGGGACUGGAUCAGGGAUAGGCAACCCACUGUGGUUUCGCAUAAAUUGGUCUGGAUUCCUCUUCACUCCCUAAACAUAGUUUUAUCACUUGGCUUGAGGUUAUUAAUAGAUUGAGCACACUACCUAAUAUUAGGAGUUAGUGCACUCAAAUGUCAAAAAUCACUUGCUACUUUUGUGAUAAAGAGGAAGAGACUAAGAAUCAUCUUUUCUUUUCUUGUGACUUCUCAAAGCAAGUUUGGCAAUUAGUUUUAGCAGAAGUGAAGUGUGUUUUUGAUUGCAACAUCCAAAAGUGGCAGCAGGAGCUUGAUUGGAUUAUUCGGCAUACCAGAGGUAAAACUUUUAAGACUAUAAUUUUGAGAGGAGCGUGAACAACAAGUAUAAAUAUAUCACAUAUGCCAUGCGAGGAAUUCUCCAUAACUUGGCAUUUAUUCUCCAAACAUUGACAAAUACUUUCCCAGACAUUAGUUUUAACGUAAAGUCUUGCGUUUUAAAAUUUGUAAAAAAAUAUGAAUAAUCCAUCUACUAGCUCUGUAUGUAAAAAAUUGAAGGAUUGUAUAGGAAAUACUAAAGCUCUUUCUUUGAUUUGUGGACUGGUAGCCACCUACUUCUUUGGACCAAUGAAAUACCAUUUAUGAAUAAAAAAAAAACGAAAAUAUACACGAAGAGAGAGAAAAAUGUAUACAUAGCCUAAAGCAUGAGCGAUUUAAUGGCUUGGAUGAUUCGGGGAUGUAUAGGAGUUGUUUUAGAACAGCUAUAAUGUCAUCAAUUUUUGUUCCAUGUGAGUGAAGUUCUUUCAUUAUUAGAACCUGUUUUGUACAUAAAAAAAAAUUAAGCCCUGGUUCUUAAGUUUGGAAAAGAAGGAAAAAGAAAAACAAAUAAAUUAAAAGACUAACCAUAAAAGAGUUCCAAGUCAUGGCAGGGAGGAGUUGAUUGAACAACUAUGUAGCAGAUUUAUGAAACCUGGAAUUCAGGUUAAUUGAUUUAUAAAAUCAUCAUUGAGAGAUGAUAUCUAACUGAAACUCAAAUUUUAAUAUUUACAAUUAUUUUUUAUUUUUUCAAACGGUCUUCUUAAUAAAAAAAAAAACAAUCUAUAAUAAAAAAUUACACACCCUUAAUUUGUUUGAAUUAUCAAAUUAAUUUGUUCAAAGUUUUAAAAUUUAUAACCUUUUCUCUUAUACGAUCAAACUUUAUGUUAUAUAAUCAGAGACAAGUAAUUUAUAAUCAUAUUUCAUAUAAAAAUCAUUUUCAAUUUAUAAGAUUUAAAUUUAAAUUACAGUUUCAAAUUCUUUCUAAUAAUUAGAUCAUAUAAAAUCAAGAUAUAUUUAAAUUUAUGCUUUAUUCUGAUUCUUAACCUCUUUAUUAUUAGAAUAAUUAAUCUAUAUAAGUAUAUACCAUAAAUAUUCAUAUCCACAAUGACAUUUAUAAAAGUGAGAAAAAUUCUCAUCAAAGAAGAAUCAAAGCAUGUGCAAGGAAUAUUGAAUAUUGAACCUUUGGAAUUUGCCUAGUACAAUCAGAUAGAGAAGCAUUUUUAGAAAAGCUGUAUAACAUGUAUAGGGUUUAAAAGAAUAAAAUUUUUGACAUAUAGGUUCGGUUUUUGUUUUAAUAAUUAUACUUAUUUAUGCUGCAAUGUAGUACUUGCAAAAAAGAAAUUUAUUUUAAUUGAAUUAUAAAUUUAUUUUUAAAAAUAACUUCCUUAAGUAACUUUUUAAGGAACUUCCUUAAGUAACUUCUUGGUCAUGGGAAUAGCAAUCUCCGUACUGAAAUGUUAAUCAUGAAAUUAAAUCAUUAAUCUUAUUGCAUAAUUCAUCCAAUAUGAACUAAUUUGAUUGGAACAUAUAUCUAAAUUUAAGUCUACGUGCAAAAAGAAUGGGCAGAUGAUUUUUAAGUGAUGAAAAAAAAUUAAAAAUAAUCUUGUAAUUUGAAACUUAAUUAUGUUAAUUCAUGCAUAUAAUUAUAUUUAAAAAAUAAUACUUAAUUAAUUUAAAAUUUAAAACACAACACCUUCUCCUAUUCCAAAGUUACUAGCACUUUUGUAAAAAAAAAAAAAUAAUAAUAAUAGUCUGUACCCCGUAACUCUAAACUGGUAAAUUUAAUUUGAUAAGAUUUUGCAGUCAUAUUUUCAUUGAAAAUGUUUAUUUACAUUUAUUUCAGAAAUAGAGGAAAAAAAAAGGCCAUUUGGCCUAACAAUCAAUAUCCUUUUGAGCAACUUCGCAUUAGAUGAGCAUUGGCCUCCGAUCUGCCCAACAUCUAAUCUACUAAGGAACUGACAGAGCUUGAGGCAAAGCUUGGUUUGAUGCUGAAAUCGUUUGCAGUCUGCAGUCAACAGAGAUUAAUUGAGCAGAGUUAUCAUUGUUUUCCUCAACAGAAAUCAUGUUGAUUAUUUGUAGCAAAACACGCUCGAGCUCUUCACCAUCACUCCAUUCACGAAUCUCAGCCUUGAUGAGCAAAGGGUUCCUGCAAAUUAAAUCCCAGACUGGAAAAUUCUUCCUUGGCAUCAUAUAGUCUGCUUCUUCAAGCCUUAGACUUGGCCAGUAAUCACCGGCACCAUCUCCAAGGUAGAUGAUUUUUUUUCUUCCCCUCUAAAGAAGCUUGUAUCCUUUCAAUGAUCAUCCCCUGUUACAGAAAGCUGAAGCCAAAAUUAAAAUUGUUGACAUCUUAUUUCAUGAUUGUCAUUAAAUUUAUAUGAUUUGACCCAUGUCAAGAUCUUGUGUUUGUUUACGACCUUAUAUGAGCCAUUACUUUAAUAGAUUAAGUGGGGUCAAGAAAAGAAGUUGAAAUAUCUAAAAUGAAAAUAGAUUUAAAAAAUAAAGAAAUAAAUAAAAACUCCAAGCUAGUUGGACGAAUUUGACUCUGUACACGUGGAAUACCAUCAAGUAAUAAAAUUUUCUAGAAAUUUUCACUUAAUAUGAAAAAUCUAGGUCCUCCUACAAAAGUUUGUUGUCUUGAUUUAAAAUAUUUACAAUUGUGAUAUUAAUGAAAUUAAAUCUCAUGUUAGUGAUGAAAAACAUAUAAU